This 67105-nucleotide long non-coding RNA is filed under the name Triticum aestivum (bread wheat). Its description in RNAcentral is "long non-coding RNA (TAES_LNC008077)". Lineage: Eukaryota; Viridiplantae; Streptophyta; Magnoliopsida; Poales; Poaceae. The record is from RNAcentral.
CCUCAGAGGGCAGACAAAACUUAUCCAAAUCAUGGAAACAAAACUCAAUAGCGACUGUCAACAGCAGAGAAGGAACAUAUCUCGCUAGUACAACUUCAGGUUACCUAUAGAAAUGAGAAUUCUGAAUGGAGGCUAGCUCCAUGAAGCUCGUAUUUUUGUAAAAAUCAGAAAUUACAGUUUUGAGUUUAAAAAAAUUCUAAAAAUAUCACACGUUCAUACAGAUAUAUACUCCAUGUGUGCAACUUUUAAAGACGAAAAUGGCGAGAGCUACACUAGGAAGACAAAAUCGUGAUUCUGAAAAUGGCAAACAUAUUUUGUGUAGCUAGACCUGUAUAUUGUUCUUCGGGUAAUUUUGGAAAAUCAAAAUGUGUUAUUUGAAUUUUUCAAAAAAAAAACAUGGGGCUCAGGACAUAGCUAAUUUAGUAGACUUCUCAAAAAAUACUCCACUAUCUAAUCCAAAUAUCCAUUCCAAUCCACACGACGAUUGGUACAGAUUUCUUUUCAGUACCAUACUACUGCAAAAUUAUGAGAAGGUUUCUAAACAAACAUCCAACUAGCCAGCAGGGUAACAAGCAAUAAUAUAUAUCCAGAUCAUGGAAACAAUACUCUUAAUAGCAACUGUUAAGAGAAAGCAGCAGCAGAGAAGGAACAAAUCUCGCUAGUACAACUUCAGGUUAUAUAGGACUUUGUAAACAUAGCAGGCAACUUUCCUCCCCAAACGACCAGAGCCUUACAGUCCAUUCCAUCCUUGCCUAUCAAAACUGCAAUCUAAGAUCUGGGCUUCUCUUUCUUCUCCUUGAAGAGAGCGAGCAGCGACACACCAGAUACCUUGACAACCUUGAACCUGACACCAGGAAUAUCUCCCACAGCAUGACCCUUACGACCGAAUCCAGCAAUCAGCACCUCGUCCUGAAGCAUCCAUCAAAGCCAAGAGGUUAGGUUGGUUGCAUAUAGCAGACAUGUCGCAUAUAUCUGAGCAAUGGGUGAGGGGCACAUACGUUUUCCUCGAUGAAGUUCAGGCAACCAUCAUUGGGCACAAAGGCAGCGAUCUUCUUCCCGUUCUUCACCAGCUGGACACGAGCACACUUACGGAUGGCAGAGUUAGGCUGCUUGGCCUCAAUACCGCUGCAGGGGACCAAUUGCACGUUGGUCAGGAUUCAAAACAUGAGAUAAAAACAAGGGAACAUAAAUCUGCUGUUCAACUUACAUCUUCUCCAAAACAAUGCCCUUGGCGUGAGACGAUCCAGCGAAGGGUUUCUUCCACUCAUUGCCCAAGUGGCUCUUCUUGUAUGCCUUGUCAGCCCACCUCUGGUUCCUGCGGUGGGUCUUGAGCUUGCGCCCGGCUCCCAUACCACGUGUCUUACUGUGAUAAGAAUUCAACCAUGCUUACAUUAAUUAAACAGAUGUCAAAAGUUAAAGCAGGUGUAUUACUACCAACUUGACAAGCAACAGGAAAAUCUUGACCAAAAAUCCAACAACAUAACUAUGCAAGAUGCAUAAAUAGGAUAUGUUCAUGAUGUAGUUGGAAGCACAGAGCUUAUGUUGCAGCCAACUACACAUGUGAACACAUCCCAAAGCAAGUCCUGAAAUAAAGAACAUGUCACUGAACUGAAGUGGUGCAUACUGCAUACACAUCCAUUUGGUACAAUCAUUUCUCCUUGCCUUCUAAACUGACAAGUAGUUAACAUAUUAAUACAUAUUGCAAUCAUGACAGCAAGGAGCUGGACACAUUCUAAACAUGAGCAAACUGAAACCAAACUAGAGGCUAUAAAGAAACUCGUAUUGUAUGCUACCAUGCACAACUUCCCGUGCCCAAUCAUCUGAGCAAAGGAAUACAGAUAACAUGGUGGCAACGAAUUUAUGUUGCUUAUGAAUAUGUUUAGCACUGAAGUUGUAUCUGAUCAGCACUGGACCGUCAAUAAGCUCAGUUCAUCGCAAUGGAACUACAAUCUCAUCCUCUGACCCCAGCACAAAUCAGCCUAAAUGACAUGGUUCUACUUGGCACUUGCUAGUCCAAGAACAUAGCACAAGAACAUCUACAUAUCAACUGAACGUGUGCAUAUGUUGCAACCAACUACAGAUAUGUAGAUGUGUACACAUUAAUUGCAACAAACUACGGAUAUGUACAUAUUCAAGGCAAAUCCUGGAAUAAAGAGCAUGUCACUGAACUGAGCUGGUGCAUACUGCAUACAUAUACAUAUGUUCCAACCAUUUCCCUUCGAAUUACAAACUAGCAACUAAUUAACAUAUUAAUCAUCUAUCACAAACAUAACGAGCAGGGAGGUGGAUAUACUCUAAACAUGGCCACCAUACAGAGCAUCAUGAAAACCACCUGCCUAGAGGUUAAAAAGGAAGACGUAUUGUAUGCUACCAUGCAUAGCUUCCACGGCCAGAUCAUCUGGACAAAGGAAUACAGAUAACACGGUGGCAACGAAUUCAUGUCGCUUAUGAAUAUGUUUAGCACUGACGUUGUAUCUGAUCAGCACUGGACCGUCAUUAAGCGAAGUUUCGUCGGAUCGGAACGACGAUCCGGUCCUCUAACCCUAGCACAAAUCAGCCUAGAUCACAUGGUACUACUGGGCAUUUGCUAGAACAAGAAAGCGAGACGAGAGCGUCGACAUAUCGGAGCAAGAACCGGGGAGAGCUACGAAGAAACAUCUCUGUCCAGGACCGAUAGACCAGGGGCGAGAAAGAGCAAGGUACCGCAUUAGGGUGAAGGAGGAGAAGAGCUCUUAGCACGCACCCCAUGAUGGCGGAGGGAGAGGCCGGGAGAUCUCCGGGCGGGCGGCGAGGGGAGAGGUCGGGAGAUCUCCGGUGGCAGGGGCUUCUUCGCGGGCGACGGCGGCGGCGGCGGCUAGAGGAGUGAGGAGGGGAGACGAGGGGGGAUAUAUAGCGGGGGUUUGGGCGUUUAGGGUUUCCGUGCGCCGACAUGCGUGCUGGCGUGAUGGAUCCAGUCUGGGUUUUUUCCUGCUUCUACCCCCGGAUAACACAUCUUUUCCACAUAUGACCCCAAAAUGUGCAUUUCUCAAAGGGCCGCGUGCACGAGUCGACAAGAGCUUUGCACGUCCAUGCUUCGUGAAUUCAUUUUGCUCGAUUUGUUUUUUGUUUUUGAGGGACUCGAUUUGUUUUGUUGGGUGAUGCAAAUCGGAGGAGACAGGGUUCACGGCUUUGAACUGUAGCUAGGAGUGCCAUUCAAGUCGAGUCAGAGUCAGUUUGGCCCAACUCGAUAGAGCUCGUUGUCUAGUUAGCUCAAUUUGACUUGUUAACAAAACUAGCUCACAGUUGAAAAUUGUGCAUCAUCAAAAUAGAGUUGCUUAUAGUAUAUGAAGAUCUGUCGCUUGUUGAUUGCGCCGCGUGCCAGAUAGCGUUACUCAUGAUGUACUAGCAGACUGUAAUUCUGUUUCCGAGGAAUAAAAACCCACAUUAUCCUGCAGAAGAAAACUAGCUCAAAUUCAAAUUUGGCUCAGACUCGUAUAACUCGCGAGCUAGCUCAUUUAACUUGUUAAGCCUGUUAUGAACUGUGAAUAACAAAAUAUGCGUAUUAUGUAUGACAACAAUCAACAACAAUAUUGAUGCUUAUCUUUUGGCCCUUUUGAUUAAUGAGUUAUUUGAUUAGUGAGCUAAGCGACUAACUUUUUUUUUGGAAAAGAAGAAUGACCACAGCCUCUGCAUCAAUCGAUGCAUGCAACCAUAGCUAAACGACUAACUCAUUAGCUUGGCUCGUUAAACUCAUUAUGUUAACAAGCUCAAAUUAAAACUUGACUCACUAUUCUCAAAUUCGAGUCGAGUUAAACCGGGUCAUGAGCUACUCGUUUAGCUUAUGAGUUUCAAGUUAAAGUUCCAGCCCUAACUGUAGCUAUGGACUAACUAAUAAUAUAAGUGGGGGGUUAUUUGUAGAAGAGUACAUAUGGAUCCUUCAGUUCCAUCUCUUCUCACGAGUAUGAUUUCAAUUGUGUGUGACUCGGAUUCACCUUAAAAGUAUCUUCCACUUUUUUGUACGAUCCAAACAAACAAGAUUGUAAUUGUGGUUUCAAUGUAUAAAGACAAAGAUUCAACAAAUGUGAUGGCUAUUGUGCACAACUCCUCUCCACAUCUUUCACCCCUGCCCCUGGCUCCCCGUGUCAGGGCAUUUUCAAUGAAAGUCAUCUAAUAAUAUUGUCAUGUGUAUGUGGAAAAGCUCAGACAUCCAACUGUGCCCAUCAAAUUCGGACCAUGUGCUAUGACUGAUAAUGGAUCGGGCGGUUGAUGUCUACUACACAACUUAUUCUUGUAGAUUCGUGUUGGGCCUCCAAGCGCAGAGUUUUGUAGGACAAUAGCAAUUUUUCCUCAAGCAGAUGACCUAAGAUUUAUCAAUCCAUGGGAGGCGUAGAAUGAAGAUGGUCUAUCUCCAACAACCCUGCAAUCAAAUACAAGAAAUCUCUUGUGUCCCCAACACACACAAUACAAUGGUAAAUUGUAUAGGUGCACUAGUUCAGCGAAGAGAUGGUGAUACAAGUGUAGUAUGGAUAGUAGAUAUAGGUUUUUGUAAUCUAAAAAUAUAAAAACAGCAAGGUAGAAGUGAUAAAACGGAGCACAAAUGGUAUUGCAGGCCUAUAGUUCAUACUUUCACUAGUGCAAUCUCUCAACAGUGCUAACAUAAUUGAAUCAUAUAACAAUCUCUUAAUGUGCGACAAAGAAUCACUCUAAAGUUUUUAUCUAGUGGAAAAUAUAAGAUGAAAUUGUUUGUAGGAUACAAAACCACCUCAAAGUUAUCAUUUUCGAUCAAUCUAUUGAGCUAUUCAUAUAAGUGUCACAAAUAGCCCAAGAGUUCGUACUAAAAUAACACCAUAUGAUGCACAUCAACCAACUCUAAUGUCACCUAGAUACUUCAAUGUCACCACAAGUAUCUGUGAGUUGAUUAUUCGAUACGCAUCAAACAACUUCAGAUUCAUAAUAUUCAAUCCAACACAAAGAAUUUCAAAGAGUGCCCCAAGGUUUCUACCGGAGAAAGUAGGACGAAACGUGCAUCAACCCCUAUGCAUAGAUUACCCCAAUGUCACCUUGGGAAUCCGUGAGUUGAGUGCCAAAACAUACAUCAAGUGAAUCAAUAUACCUCAUUGUCAUCGUGGAUAUAUAUCCAUAUGAAAGACAUACACCAACUGUUCUCAAAUCCAUAAAGUAUUCAAUCAUAUAAUAGUGAAACCUCAAAGGUAUAAACUCAAUUCAUCACAACAAGAUAGAGAGGAAGAAGCACCAUAUGAUCCAACUAUAUUAAGAAAGCUCGUGGUACAUCAAGAUCAUGCCAAAUCAAGAACACGAGAGAGCAGAGAUCAAACACAUAGCUACUGGUACAUACCCUCAGUCCCGAGGGUGAACUACUCCCUCCUCAUCAUGGAGACCUUUGGGGUGAUGAAGAUGGCCUCCGGUGAUGAUUUCCCCCUUCAGCGGGGUGCAGAAACAGGGCUCCAGAUGGUAUUUUGAAGGUAUAGAGGUUUGUGGCGGCGGAGUCAAAGUUCUAGGGUUAUUUCCAGGGGUUUCUCUAUUUAUAGGAUUUUUUGGCGUUGAUCUCACGCGAAAAGGAGCUAAGAUGGCCCAACGAGGCACCACAGCAAGCCGACCCCCCUAGGCGCACCCUGGUGCCUCGUGGGCACCUCGUUUCUCUUCUGGUCCUCCCACAAAGCUUCGGGAGUCUCUUUUGUUCCAAAAAAAUGUCAAAAAGUUUCAGCCCAUUCCGAGAACUUUUAUUUCUACACAAAAAACUACACUACGGUAGUUCUGUUGAAAACAACGUCCGUCCAGGUUAAUUCCAUUUAAAUCAUAUAAAUUUUCAACCAAACCAUAUAAAAUUGUUGUAAACAUGGCGUGAAUACUUCAUAAAUUAUAGAUACGUUGGAGACGUAUCAGCAUCUCCAAGUUGAAUUCCUGCUCGCCCUCGAGUAGGUAAAUGAUAAAAGAAAUAAUUUAUGAAGUGUGAAUGCUAGCAUAGUGUAUAAGUUUGAUCAAUGAUAAUUUCAGUCACUUUUCCUAGCAUCAUAACAACAACUCUUUCUCAUAAAACUCAUCAUGAUAAAAUAGCAAUCAAUUCACAUGUUAUGGUUCAAACAAUGCAUUCUCUUGAAACUUAACAACCUAUGUUCUUAGUCACCAAAUAAUUGCAAUUCAACUUAUUCUCAACAAAGUUUAAGUAAGAGCUCCACAUACUCAAUUAUCAUAUAGUCUUCUAUGAUUGUUAGUACUCGAAGCAUAUGUUGAAUAAAUGGCAUCCAUCAAACACAGGGAAAGAUAGGGGCUUGAUGUUUCGCUUCCCAACUUAUUUAUCGUAGAGAUAAUUGCCAACAAUAAUAAUUCAUGAUCAAAUAUAUUUGAAUGACCAUAUGUGCCUGUAUCUCCCCCCCCCCCCACAUGAUGCUUGCCAACUAAAGAAUAGUUGAGGUUGAAAUGAGAAUGAAUACUUAUUAACUCUUGCAUAAAAGUAAAAGCUGAAAACUAAAAGAUAGGCCCUUCACCGAGGGAAGUUGAGGUUGUCAUGCACUUUUGAUUUUUGAAUGUGCAAGCCCUUAAUGCAAAGGAAUGUCAUGUUAUAUUGUCCUUUGUGAUAGCAACCUUUAUUAUCCAGUCCGUCACUUUUAUUUCUUCACCAUCACAAGUUCGUACAACGCUUAUUUUUCCUUGUAAUAAAAGGCCAUACAUAUUUAGGAGCAAUUUUUAUUGCUUUUUGCACUGAUAACAACUUAUUUGAAGGAUCUUAUUCAAUCCAUAGGUAUAUAUGGCGGACUCUCAUGGCAAGAACCUGAGUUUAAGGUUUUUUUGAUGCACACGUAGUAUCUCUACUUAGUACGAAUUUUUGGCUAGCAAAAGAUCCUAAGCAGGCACCACAUGUUGGAGGAUCCAUAACAAUAUAACUUCUUUGCAAAUAUACCCAAACAUAACUCAUUACAUCGUCAUCCUUGUCCAACUUCAACUAAUUUGCUCAAAUUUGAAAAUAAUUAAUGGGUAUUCAUGAUCAUAAAAAGAUGUCCAAGAUAAUAUAUUUAUAUGUGAAAGUUCUCUUCCUUAUACUAAUCAUUCAUGAAUUGCUUGUAUGACCAAUAUUGUGAUUGCCAAGCUUCGAUAGAUUUCACUUUCUAACCCCAAUGCAAAACUACUACUAGACAUGAUAUAAGCAUAUGAAGCACAUAUAAUUUCAACUUUAUUGAAAGAACAUGCGGUGCCCCCAUGUUUGGUUUUGGUAAAUCUCUAUGGUCUAAUGGUUGUCUUGAGUUAUAUUUUAAGGAUUUGUCCAUAGGCUUUUCUUGAAGUCCAUGUGUUGGUUUCAAGGAGUUUAUGAGUUGACCAAGGUGCUAUUAAGGAAUUAUCCAAAGAUUGGUCAUGUGAGUGUUGAGCUUAUUGCAAGCAUGUCUUGAAGAAUAAGAUUGUGUGAUCAUUCAUGUUUACCUUCAAGACAUCAUCCAAAUGAAGAGAGUUGGAAAGAUUCAAGGUUGAUCAAGACUAAGUCAAGAGUGAAUCAAGUUGAUCAACUCACAAAGCGUAGAAGAUGUACCGAGAGGGAUCAAGUGAUCCCAUGGUAUGAUAAGCAUUGUCCAUUGCACUUUGUGUACUAACCCAUGGUAUAUGUGAGAGUUCUUUGUGGGGUUAGGUACGUGUCCAUGGGCUUGCGUCAAGAGGAAGAUAUCAUACAACCCAUGGAAAGGAUGGCAUCAAAUGGUGAUCGUCAUCAAGAUUGCCAUGUGCAAGUUCAAGUGGAGCAUCACGAAGAGAUCAAGUGCUUGAAUCUUGCCAUCCGUUGUGGUGUCAAUGGACUUGUGAAGAUGUGCCGAAGAGUGGCUCACCCACAGUGGACUAUGGGGGAGCAAUCAUCUAGUCUUCAUUGAGCCAACGCAAUCAAGAAAGGUGGUCCAACUUGAGGGAGUCAAGAUCGUCAUCAUCUAGCUCAAGUGGACCAUGUGCAAGGCAAAGGUUUUCUCUUGAUAGGUUUUCUAUUUUACCGGUCUCAUGGUGGUAGUUGGGAGACCGGGUUAUAGGAUCGUUUGCCGUACUAUCAAGGGGGGCUCUCAAGUUGGUAGCUUGAUCAUAUCGUUAGUAGAGAGAUCAAACUAUUGCAUCCUUGCAUCAUGUUUCUUGGUUCUUAUUUGGUUCUCUUUGUGAGUCUUAGAGCUUAUGGUCAUCUUGAUAACAAACUUGAGUUCAUCGAAAAUGGAGUUCGCAUGCGUCUAUUAUGAUGUUUUCGGUGUUGGAGGUUUUACCAGUCUUAUCCGAGAAAGGGUUCUCGCCAUUUUCUUAUGGGCAUUUUCUAAUUUGCUUCUUAUUGAUAUUUCUUUCAAGAUUGUGUUAGCCCUUGUCACUAUCUUUCCAACAAACUUGGUUUCAUCGAAUUUGGAGUCCGUUUGCAAAAGUUGUGGCAGUUUUGGUGUUCUGAAAAGGCUGCAGCGGUACUACCGCGAAUUGGAACGGAUGUAAUUUUUUACUACCGCUCCAGAGCGGUACUACCGCGGCUCCUACAGCGGUAGUACCGCUCCGGAUCAAAAAACUCGUCCCAAGUCUUGCAGAGGUAGGUACGGAAGUAUUUUUUUUGUACCGCAAGCAGUAGUACCGCGAUCCCUAGCGGUAGGACCGUGAGGACGAGCGGUAGUCCCGCCCUGUGCGGGUUGUGAGUAUAACGGUUGGAUUUUCCCCCACCUAUAAAAGGGGGUCUUCUUCCCCAUUGAACCUUAUCCUUUGAACUCGUGUUCUUCCCCCAUUGUUGACCUUCUUCGAGCUUGCUAACUCUCAAUCCCUCCAUGGAUUCUUGCUAGUUUUUAAGGGAAAAGAGAGAGGAGAUCUAGAUCCACAUUUCCACCAAUCACUUUCUCCUCUAUGUGAGGGGAACCCAUUGGAUCUAGAUCUUGGAGUUCUUGGUGUUCUGCUUCUUGUUCUUCCUCUCAUCUUCCUCCCUAGCAUUAGUUGCUUCGGUGGGAUUUGAGAGAGAAGGACUUGGGCACUCCGUGUGCCCUUGCCAUUGCAUUUGGUGCAUCGGUUUGAGUUCUCCACCGUGAUACAUGGAAGUUAAAAGUUGAGAAGCUUAUUACUCUUGGGUGCUUGGUGCCCUUGAGCUUGUUCCUCUUGGGUGCUUGGGCACCCUAGAUGGUUGGUGGUGUUCGGAGCUCAAUCAUUGUGGUGUAAAGCUCCGGGCAAGCGUCGGGGUCUCCAAUUAGGUUGUGGAGAUCGCCCCGAGCAAUUUGACGGGUUCCGGUGACUGCCCCAAGGGUUGCCAAAGUGUACGGGUUCGGUGACCGCCCCCAAGGGUUGCCAUUUGUACGGGUUCGGUGACCGCCCUCAAGGGUCCCUUAGUGGAAUCACGGCAUCUUGCAUUGUGCGAGGGCGUGAGGAGAUUACAGUGGCCCUAGUGGCUUCUUGGGGAGCAUUGUGCCUCCACACCGCUCCAAACGGAGAUUAGCAUCCGCAAGGGUGUGAACUUCGGGAUACAUCAUCGUCUCCGCAUGCCUCGGUUAUCUCUUACCCGAGUCCUUUACUUAUGCACUUUACUUUGUGAUAGCCAUAUUGUUCUUUGUCAUAUAUCUUGCUAUCUCAUAGUUACUUAUCUUGCUUAGCAUAAGUUGUUGGUGCACAUAGGUGAGCCUAGUUGUUGUAGGUUUUGUGCUUGACAAAUUAACCGUUAGGUUUAUUCCGCAUUUGUUCAAGCCUCAACCAUAAUUAUUUUAAAGCGCCUAUUCACCCCCCCUCUAGGCGACAUCCUCGAUCUUUCAAUUGGUAUCAGAGCCUCGUCUCUCUUUAUUAGGCUUCACCGCUUAGAGAGUAAAGAUGUCGACUAGGGGAUUAGGAUUCUCUAACACUCUUAGUUUCGAUGGCACAAAUUUUGAUGUUUGGGUAAUUCGCAUGCUUAAUCUCUUUAGGGUCAUGGACCCAAAUUUAGAGCGAAUUGUAGAUAUGGGUUUCUCUCCUCCAAAGGAUCCCCAAAGAUUAUCUUUAGAGGAUGAGAAAAACUCUUAUCUCAAUGCUCAAGCUUCUAAUGUGCUUUUCGAUGCUUUAAGCAAUGUAGUUAUAUUUCAACUCAUGCCGUUCCGAGAUGCUCAUGAGUUGUGGACAAAGCUUCAAGAUAAAUAUGGUGUGUCCAAGAUUUGUGGGGAUGAUUGUUCUCCCUCCACCUCCGGUCGUAUAGUCUUCUCAACCUCUUCUACUUCACCUACAUGUGGUUUUCCACAAGGUAAUGAUAUGGUGAGUAGUGUUGGUCAUUGCAAUGAUGAUAGUAUGCUUAUUGUGGAUGAUCCUUCAUCACUAUAUUAUUGCAAUGCUCCCUCUUUGGGCUUUAACACUUUGAGCACUCCAAAUGUUUCACAUGCUUGUGUUGAUAGUCCUUGCAUAUCAUGUAGAAAUUGCUUGACUAAAUAUCAUGAUGAUAUGCUUGCUAUGUCUUGUUGCCAUGAUAAAAAUGCAUCUAUUUCCUCAAAUUGUUGUGCUAACAAUGUAGAGGAAACCAAAUACUCCAUGGAACAAUAUGUGGUGUUUAAUGGUGCCUCAAGGGAUCCUACAUCAUCAUCUAUUGCGUUUUGCCUUAUGGCUAAGGCGUCAAAGGUAUCUCCUACUUUGUACCCCAAUAUGUCUCUUGAUGAUGAUGUUGAUGCUAAUGAUGAUGAGGAUAAUGAUGAAGAGAAUGAUAAUGUUGCCUCCUUAAAAAUUAAGGGGGAAAUGGUUUUUAAAGCUCUUCAUAAAAAUAAAAUUGCUCGUUCCAUCUUCAUGGAAAUUAUGUCCAUUGCUAUUGAGAGCAAGAAAUAUAUUGAUGAGUUGGAAUCUCGUCUUGAGGAGCAUGAGGUCACCAUUGAUAAAAUGGAAGGUCAUGAGCGUGAUUACGCUAAUGAGAUUGCGGACCUCUCUCAAGCUCUUGAACUUGAACAAACCACCAAGGAAUCUCUUGAGGAGACUUUUGCUCUAGAAUUGCCUAGAGUGAAGGAAUCUACUGAUAGAGCUCUUGAGGUGGCCAAUGUUUUUGAAACUAAAAAUGCUAAGCUUGAAGUUGCUCAUGCUAGACUCCUUGAGGAUUUUGAGCACCUCGAAAAUGGCUCAAGGGUCAUCAAGGGUGAGCUCAUCAAACUCACCGAGUCUCAUGCUCAACUUGAAGCUUCUUAUUUAAAAGAGCUUGCCAAGUUGCCUUCUCCUCUUGUUGUUAACGAUGAUGCUUGUGCUACUAAUUCUAUUACUUGUGAAGCAUCCAUUUUGAAGGAGAAUGUUCAGCUACGGGCUCAACUUGAGGUGCUAUCUUGCAAUUAUGGGAAAUUGGAAGAAAGUCAUGAAAAGCUCUCAAGCUCUCAUGAUGAUCUUCUAGUAUCCCAUAGUGUGCUAAGGAUUGCUAAGGUAACAUCUAGUGAGCCUCAUGUGGAUACUAGCACUACUUCUAGUCAAAAUAUUAUAUUGCCAUGUGCUAGUCCUUGUAAUUCAUCUACUCACAAUGUUGGUACAUCUUGUGAUGAAUUGCUUUCCUUGCCUUGUUGCUCUAGCGAUGAAGCUUAUACUUCCUCUAGUACUUGUGUUGAGACUAACCAUGUAGAGGAAAUCAAAGAGCUCAAGGCCCAAGUCACUUCUUUGAAGAAAGACUUGGAAAAGUGUCAUGAAGGGAAAUCCACACUCAACAAUAUCUUGAGUGUGCAAAAAUCCCCCAAUGACAAAGGUGGACUUGGAUUAAACUCCAAUAAGAAGAAGAAGUCCAAGAUGAACAAAAAGAAGGGCCAAGAACAAGUCAAGAAUUCGGCCAAGAUUGUUUGCUUCAAGUGCAAAGUAGAAGGGCAUCAUGUUAGAUCUUGCCCAUUGAAGAAGAAGGCCAUUAGUGUCAAGCAACAAGGGAAGAGGGCACAAGUUCAAUCUCAUGCUCAACCUCAAGUUGAAGAAAGGCCACUUCCCAAGAAGACUCAAGCUAAUGCUUCUCUUGUGGAAAAAUCAAGUGAGAAGAAAGUGAAGAGUAGACGUUGCUACUUAUGUCGUGAGAAAGGUCACGUCGCUUCUUCAUGCACUAGUGGUAACUUAUCCAACCCAAUUAUUAUUGAUGAUAUCUAUUCUCUUGGGAAGGAUAAGGUUGGCAAUGUGUUUGCCAAGUUUGUUGGUACUCAAAGUGGUGUCAAGAAAAGAACCAUUUGGGUAGCCAAGCCUAUUGUGACUAACUUCUUAGGACCCAACUUGGUUGGGGACCAACAAGCUCAAACUGGAUCAAUAGGUGUUUAUGGAGGUCAUUGGAGACUUGGCUACAUUAUGAAGAAUUAAGGGGACUUCAUCUUUCUUGUUGUCUCAAGCCAAGUCAAUUGGGUUGUCAAGUUUCUAUCUUAUAUCCAAUGUGCCUCCUUGCGGUAACUUGUACUUAAAUUUUUUACAUUGAAAGUUACUUGCCCCUUUGCAUGUUUUGGUUUUGUUCCUUGCAUGUGUUUGUAUAUGUUGUGCUUCCAACUUGCUUAUCUUGAGCAAUCAAGUAUGUGUGUGUUGGUUUGCACAUCAUGUACAUGUGCGUCGUGCAUUGAGCCUUUUUGCUUGUUGUUUGUAUCCUAGUUGGCUCGUGUGAGGGAUUAAUGGUACAUCCCAUUUUGGGGGAGUGAUGUGCUUUGUGCACCUCACAAUCCUAUAAAUGUGUGUACAUGAGGAAUACCAUCUAGUAUUGAUAUUACAAGAUUAUCUAGUCGCUUGGUGGUAUAUCUCUCAUGAGAAAUUCAAAUUCUAAAAAUUACAUUGAUUAUCUCUUGUUGGUUCCUCUUAUUGCCUCUUGUUAAGUUCUUAUUGGUAUCACAUUAUGGGGGAGUAAUAUGCUAUGUGCAUAGUACAAGCCUAGAAAAUGUGUACAUUUGAGAUAUUGUCACCUAGAAUUGAUAUAGUAAUUUAUCUUGUUCCUAGGUGGCAUGUUAGCUCUACAAGUGGCAAUUUCCUUGUGUGUGUUGUGAAGAUGAUGUUGGAUAUCCUUGUUAUCUACCACCGGGAAUUAUUUCCAAAUACUCCUUGUCUUUUGACAAUUGGUAGUCACUUAUGUGUGGUAGAAUUUAUUGAUCAUCUUUACAUUGGCUUUUGUUUUUAUUUGCCUUUUCUCUUGCAAGGUUUGUGUCAACUCCCGUUGUCUUCCAUAACACUUGUGGAUCUUGUUAAUUUCUUGUUCUUGUCUAGUGUUUUCUAGAUAUAGUGAAAGUGGUGAUCCCACCUUGUGCAUUUUGUAUUCAAAAGCAAAUUCUCUAUAGUGCACAACUCGUGGGGGAGCUAUCCUAUUUUCUUUAGAACACUCUUCUUGUGAUCCUUAUCAAGUGUGUGUGUUGGUGGAAGGCAAGCCGUUUUCUUUUGGUACCUUGUGCCAUCAUAAAACUUUGCCGAGAGCUUGGUUUGUUUGGAACCAUCCUCUCAUUUGGAGUUUGACAUCUUUAUUUUAGUGUGUAUCGAUGGAUAUCUCAUUCCUUGAUGUAUCUUUAAUGAUAUCUUCCAAGUGAUGAUUUCUCCAUUUGGUAUCCUUUUCGCUUGGCAUUUCUUUGUCUUUUCGUUUCGGAUCUUGAAAGUUUUGAGCAUGCAUGUUUACUUCAUGUAUUUUAUUUGGCAUGCUUUCUUUCUUUGACCCAAUAUAUAGGGGAAACUCCACCAAGUCUCAAAUUGGAUGAGAUGUGCAUGAUGUUUAUUUUCAUAUCUAUAUGCACAUAUUUAUGUGGAGUUUGUCCUAUGUAUUGGUGUUUCUAACUAUGUGGUCCCAAUGAGUUUGGGUACCGUUUAGUUUGUGUUGUUCUUCUAGGAACAUUUGGAGAUACAUUGGAUGCUCGGCUCACUCACAAGGAAGGUGUUGUCACCAUGUGCAUAUUGGAGUCAAGCUAGGAUGAUCAAUGAACUACUAUCUACCUUCAAUUGGUAUCUACUACAUCCUUCCAAUGAUAUCUCGGUAACAAGUAUCUAUUCAUGCUUUCCUCUCUUGCAUUCAACCUUGUGUAGGUUGCAUCUUGGCAUGAUAUUCAUUUCAUAUCUUGUGAUACUUGUUUCCUUUCUCAAAGCAUCCCAACGAUGAUCUCUUGUUGCUAGUUGUGAUGUCUUUGAUGGAUGUGUGUCUGGAAUUCAUUUAUAUACAAUAAGACCAUAUCUAGCCAAGUGCUAUGCUUGCAAGCAAAUAUCUUAUUGGUAUAUUUAUGAUUUCCUUGUGGAUAUCUGGUUCCUUCGUGUUGUAACUAUUUCAGGUGUACAUCCUUCUUUGUAGAUAUAUGUCAUCAUGAUUUUGUCUACCUAGAACCUUAUACACUUGAGAGAAAUUACAUCUCUAGUUGAUUUCCUUUCCUUCACGUCCACCUUUUAUUUCUUAUGUUAUUUCUUUGGUGGCUCCCUGAAAGCAUUUGCCUUGAGUGCGUGUUUUACUUCGUUGCAUCUUGAUGCACUCUUUUGUGGUGAAGAUCUUUUUCCUUUUGCUUGUCCUGAUGAGGCCUUUGCCAUCUAAUUGGUAUCCCUCGUCUUGAUGAGGCUUUCAUCGUCUAUCUUCACCAUGGGUUGUCACAAGCAUUGCUUCUUUAUAUGCUUAUUAGUGAGCUUGUGAACCCGUUUGCAAGUUGUGUGUGGGAAUGACAUGCCUUGCACCGUGUAUCUCUUUCUUUCAGGACUAUAUUGAUGCUUAAUGCUCAUCCGUACAUUAGUCUUCUCAAGUGCAUUGCCUUGACUCACACACAUCGGUUUUGGUUGAGCCUAUUCUUAAGUUGCCUCCCUUACGUGUUGCUCAACCAUGUGCUUGUUGCAAGCGCUAGGCUUUGUUUCCUAUAUGCUCACUUGCACUGGAUGUGAGUUUCUAUUGAUUUUGGGGGAGCUAUGAUCCUAUUUUGUGCACUUUGUAUUCAAAUACAAAAAUUCUUAUAUGUGCACAAAUCAUGGGGAGCGUCUCUAGUUUCUUUAGAACAAUCCUUUGCUCAUAUCAUAAUAUCUUUAUUCUUGUGGCACAUAGGAUCAUUGUUCUAGUUGGUUCAAUUGAUAUCCGUUGAUUGCUUGCUUCUUUUGGUAUCUUCUGAUUGCUUGUCUCUCUCUUUGUUAUGUCUUUGUGGCAUAUAUCUCUGUUGCAAUCUUUGGGCCUCAAUAUAGUUUGUCUUCCUCCAAGUAUUGACAGUUGGAUAUGUGUAUUGCAUUCCACUCUCUUGUUGAGAAAUACACAAUUUAUGGAGGACCACAAUUUAUUUUGGCCUUCUAAGCUUUUCGCCCAUUUUGGCAAUCGAUGCCAAUGGGGGAGAAGUUUCAAAGAGUUUUGUGGAGAAGGUUUCAACGUUUUCUCCUUGCUUUGGUUUUGUUCCUAAGCAUUUGCAUCUCAUUCUCCUGCAUCAUUGGUUGUUUCAUAGCAUUGUGAUGCAUAAUUCCUUAUAUAAACUCUCUUGAAAGUGAUUGUCAUCAAUUACCAAAAUGGGGGAGAUUGAAAGAACAUGCGGUGCCCCCAUGUUUGGUUUUGGUAAUUGAUGACAAUCUCUAUGGACUAAUGGUUGUCUUGAAUUAUAUUUUAAGGAUUUCUACAUAGGCUUUUCUUGAAGUCCAUGUGUUGGUUUCAAGGAGUUUAUGAGUUGACCAAGGUGCUAUUAAGGAAUUAUCCAAAGAUUGGUCAUGUGACUGUUGAGCUUAUUGCAAGCAUGUCUUGAAGAACAAGAUUGUGUGAUCAUUCAUGUUUACCUUCAAGACAUCAUCCAAAUGAAGAGAGUUGGAAAGAUUCAAGGUUGAUCAAGACUAAGUCAAGAGUGAAUCAAGUUGAUCAACUCACAAAGCGUAGAAGGUGUACCAAGAGGGAUCAAGUGAUCCCAUGGUAUGGUAAGCAUUGUCCAUUGCACUUUGUGUACUAACCCAUGGUAUAUGUGAGAGUUCUUUGUGGGGUUAGGUACGUGUCCAUGGGCUUGCGUCAAGAGGAAGAUAUCAUACAACCCAUGGAAAGGAUGGCAUCAAGUGGCGAUCGUCAUCAAGAUUGCCAUGUGCAAGUUCAAGUGGAGCAUCACGAAGAGAUCAAGUGCUUGAAUCUUGCCAUCCAUUGUGGUGUCAAUGGACUUGUGAAGAUGUGCCGAAGAGUGGCUCACCCACAGUGGACUAUGGGGGAGCAAUCAUCUAGUCUUCAUUGAGCCAACGCAAUCAAGAAAGGUGGUCCAACUUGAGGGAGUCAAGAUCGUCAUCAUCUAGCUCAAGUGGACCAUGUGCAAGUCAAAGGUUUUCCCUUGAUAGGUUUUCUAUUUUACCGGUCUCAUGGUGGUAGUUGGGAGACCGGGUUAUAGGAUAGUUUGCCGUACUAUCAAGGGGGGCUCUCAAGUUGGUAGCUUGAUCAUAUCGUUAGUAGAGAGCUCAAACCAUUGCAUCCUUGCAUCAUGUUUAUUGGUUCUUGUUUGGUUCUCUUAGUGAGUCUUAGAGCUUAUGGUCAUCUUGAUGACAAACUUGAGUUCAUCGAAAACGGAGUUCGCAUGCGUCUACUAUGAUGUUUUCGGUGUUGGAGAUUUUACCGAUCUUAUCCGAGGAAGGGUUCUCACCAUUUUCUUAUGGGCCUUUUCUAAUUUGCUUAUUAUUGAUAUUUCCUUCAAGAUUGUGUUAGCCCUUGUCGCUAGCUUUCCAACAAACUUGGUUUCAUCGAAUUCAGAGUCCGUUUGCAAAAGUUGUGGCAGUUUGGUGUUCUGAAAAGGCUCCAGCGGUACUACCGCGAAUUGGAGAGGAUGUAAUUUUUUACUACCGCUCCAGAGCGGUACUACCGCGGCUCCUACAGCGGUAGUACCGCUCCAGACCAAAAAACUCGUCCCAAGUCCUGCGGAGGUAGGUACAGAAGUAUUUUUUUUGUACCGCAAGCAGUAGUACCGCGAUCCCUAGCGGUAGUACCGUUAGGACGAGCGGUAGUACCGCUCUGUGCGGGUUGUGAGUAUAACGGUUGGAUUUUCCCCCACCUAUAAAAGGGGGUCUUCUUCCCCAUUGAACCUUAUACUUUGAACUCGUGUUCUUCCCCCAUUGUUGACCUUCUUCGAGCUUGCUAACUCUCAGUCCCUCCAUGGAUUCUUGCUAGUUUUUAAGGGAAAAGAGAGAGGAGAUCUAGAUCCACAUUUCCACCAAUCACUUUCUCCUCUAUGUGAGGGGAACCCAUUGGAUCUAGAUCUUGGAGUUCUUGGUGUUCUGCUUCUUGUUCUUCCUCUCAUCUUCCUCCCUAGCACUAGUUGCUUCGGUGGGAUUUGAGAGAGAAGGACUUGGGCACUCCGUGUGCCCUUGCCAUUGCAUUUGGUGCAUCGGUUUGAGUUCUCCACCGUGAUACAUGGAAGUUACAAGUUGAGAAGCUUAUUACUCUUGGGUGCUUGGUGCCCUUGAGCUUGUUCCUCUUGGGUGCUUGGGCACCCUAGACGGUUGGUGGUGUUCGGAGCUCAAUCAUUGUGGUGUAAAGCUCCGGGCAAGCGUCGGGGUCUCCAAUUAGGUUGUGGAGAUCGCCCCGAGCAAUUUGACGGGUUCCGGUGACUGCCCCCAAGGGUUGCCAAAGUGUACGGGUUUGGUGACCGCCCCCAAGGGUUGCCAUUUGUACGGGUUCGGUGACCGCCCUCAAGGGUCCCUUAGUGGAAUCACGGCAUCUUGCAUUGUGCGAGGGCGUGAGGAGAUUGCGGUGGCCCUAGUGGCUUCUUGGGGAGCAUUGUGCCUCCACACCGCUCCAAACGGAGAUUAGCAUCCGCAAGGGUGUGAACUUCGGGAUACAUCAUCGUCUCCGCGUGCCUCGGUUAUCUCUUACCCGAGCCCUUUACUUAUGCACUUUACUUUGUGAUAGCCAUAUUGUUCUUUGUCAUAUAUCUUGCUAUCUCAUAGUUACUUAUCUUGCUUAGCAUAAGUUGUUGGUGCACAUAGGUGAGCCUAGUUUUUGUAGGUUUUGUGCUUGACAAAUUAACCGUUAGGUUUAUUCCGCAUUUGUUCAAGCCUCAACCGUAAUUAUUUUAAAGCGCCUAUUCACCUUCCCUCUAGGCGACAUCCUCGAUCUUUAAUUUAUGAUAUUCAAUUCAUUCAACAAUCUACUCUUAGGAUUUAAGUGAAGCACAAGAGUAAAGGAUAAACUACUCCAAAAAGAUAUAAGUGAAGAUCAAAUGAGUAGUUAAACAAUUAAGUAGCUAUGUGAGGACUCUCUCUCAUUUAGAACUUACAGAUCUAAAUAUUUUCUAUUCAAAUAGCAAACAAAACAAAAUAAAAUGACACUCCAAGAAUAGCACAUCUCAUGUGAAGAAGCAAAAACUUAGGCUCAACCGAUAUUAACCGAUGAUUGUUGAUGAAGAAAGAUGGGAUGCCUACCGGGGCAUCCCCAAGCUUUGAUGCUUGAGAUUUCUUGAAACAUUAAAUUGGCAUGCCUUGGGCAUCCCCAAGCUUGAGCUUUUGUAACUUCUUAAUUCCUCUCAUAUCACGGUUUCCCUAAUGUGGGUGUUCCAGACUAAGGGUCCUCGGGCUGACGGUCAAUCUCUCGUGGGCCAGACUGGUGGGCCGCUUUGGAUCUCGUGCUGGAAGGCCGAACUAUAGGUGACUUCAUGUUCGGGCAGGAAACCUCCAAAGCCUUGGUGUAUCGUCCAAGUCAAGAUCAUGGUGAUGGCAUGUUUAUCUCCUGAUGGUAACCGACCAUGUGUAACCCUAGGUACCUGAUACGUCCAUUUUGCAUCAUGUUUUCCUACUGUUAUUUAUAGUAUUUUUAUUCAAUAUAACACUCUGUGGAAUAAUCCAAUGGCUUUUCUCUCAUAAUAUGCAAGGUUUACACAAAGAGGAGAAUAUCGGCAACUGGAAUUCUGGACCUAAAAAAGCUAUGUCAGAGAUACCUAUUCUGCACAUCUCCCAAUAAGCUGAAAUUUUAUGGAGAAUUAUUUUGGAAUAUAUAAACAAUAUUGGAGAAAAUAAAUACCAGAGGGGGCCACCAAGGUGCCCACUAGGCACCACGGUGCGCCUGCCCCCCUAGCGCAACCCACCUCGAAGCAUUUGAGAGAGAGAAAUCCUUGCGAGGACAAAGCCCAAACACCCAGAGCCAAAGAGUGUUAGGCAUCACUGAAGUCUUUCUGUCUGUGUGACUUGAAGACUUAUUACACUUGAGGACUGUGAAUCCUCCAGCCGGUUAGGCGUCGCGUUCUGAGCAUCCAAGAGUCAUUGUGGAUUGCCGGUGAACGAAGUCUGUGAAGGUUUGGAAGUCUCCUUUGAAGACUUGACUGGGUGUCCUUAGCUCAAGGGGAAUAAGGUGAAGACACGGUCUUCUGAGUUAAAUCUCAGCCUCCCUAACCAGACGUACAGUUGUCACAUCAAUUGGAACUGGUCCAACAAAUCAUGUGUCUUCAACAAGCAACUGGUUCUAUCCCUUCCAACCUUACUUAAGUUUGUCUUCGUGAAGUCAUUGCUUAUCUGUAUAUCUGUUUGACUUCAUUGCUUGACUACUAUUGUUGAUUGGCUUCACACUAUCUUCCAUCUUGAUCCUUACUACCUAACUGCUAGUAGUCCUGUAUUUUCACAUCAUUACAUACUUGACUAUGGCUUGUUUAGGGUAGUUUAUCUUCCGCUGCAUAUCAAUUAGGUUGUUUCUGUUGUUUGUCUUUGAAACUUCCAAGUUUUGAAGACUUUCAUAAAAAUCGCCUAUUCACCCCCCCUCUAGUCGAUACUAGCACUUUUAAUUGGUAUCAGAGCAAGGUACUCCCUUGUUCUGUGUGAUUCGGUUUAACCACCUGGAGUUUCAGCUAUGUCGACUGCAGGGAUAAUCAAGGUCUCUGCUGCUUGCCCCGUGUUCGAUGGAACUGAAUAUCCCUACUGGAAGAAUAAGAUGCGCAUGCAUCUUGAAGCCAUUGAUGUCGACCUCUGGUAUGUCGUCAAGAAUGGCGUUCCCAAAACUGGUGAAGGUGUCACCCCCACUGAUGUCAAGAAGUUCAUUCAACUGGACUCUACUGCAAAGAACAUCAUCUGUGGUCAUCUGACCAAAGGACAGUAUGGCCGUGUGAGUGCUCUGGAAACGUCGAAGCUAGUCUGGGACUGGCUAUCCAAGGUCAAUGAAGGCGUUUCAACCCAGAGAGAUCAAAGAAUCAGUGUUCUUCGCAACCUCUUCAACCGCUUCAAGAGAAACGACAACGAAAAUGUCCAGCUCAUGUUUGAUUGCCUCACUGAUAUCACAAAUGAACUUCAAGCUCUUGGCGCAACUGAGAUUACCAAGCAUGAAAUCAUCAAGACACUGCUGAGAUCACUUGACAGCUCCUUUGACACCCUUGCCCUCAUGAUACAAGAACAUCCUGACUUCAAGACACUCGAUCCGUCUGAUAUACUUGAGAGGCUCAACACACAUGAGUUCCAGCUAUCUGAGAAAAGAGAUAUCUAUGGUCCAAGCUAUGGCCGAACUCGUGCUUUGAAGGCAAAAGUUGUUUCCUCAUCUGAAGAAGAGUCUGACUGCAGUUCUGAAGAUCCUGAAGACAUUGGAAGGGAACUUGCUAUGCUUGUGAAGAAGUUCCAGAAAUUCACACAUGAUCACAAGAAGAGAACCUGCCACAAGUGCAAGAAACCUGGUCACUACAUAUCUGAGUGUCCACAGUGUGACAAUGAGAAGAAGAAGAAGAAAAGCAAGGAAUAUGAUUCUGAUGACAAGAAGAAGAAGAAAUCCUCAAAGUCUUCUAAGUCUUCUUCCAAGUCUUCAUCAUACAAGAAGAGCUCAUCUAGCAAGGCUCGUGCUUUUGUUGGCAAGGAAGUGGAUUCAGAGGAGUCUGCUUCGGAGGAGGCAGAGGUGGAGUCUGGAGAGGAGUCUGACCCUGGCGUUGCAAGUCUGGCUCUAGCCACUGCCUAUGUUGCCAAGUCCAUCUUCAACACUGAAUACAAUGACUUCCACACCAACGCUGAAGCUAAUGACGAAGAUGAUCCUACUCCCACCUACUGCUUCAUGGCACGUGGUGCCAAGGUAAAAUCACGCGAUGCUUACUUUCAAACUUCAAGUGAAGAUGACUCUGAUUGUGAAUCCAAACCCAGCUACAAAACACUUGCUAAAAUUGCAACUGAACAACAAAAGGCUAUGGAACAUACUCAAAAACUGUUAGACAAAAGCGAUGACCUGUUGGACGCUGAAAUGACCUGUUCACAGUCCUUAGUUGAUGACAUAAAAAAUCUUCAUGCUAAGUACCAAGAACUUGAAUGUCGUCAUGAAUCGCUCUCAACUACUUAUGAAAGGCUCUCCUAUGAUUAUCUUCAAAGGAAACAAGAGCUUGAGAAAUUGAGAGCGGCUCAUGAAGAUCUUCAAAAGGUGAAUGAGUCACUUCACGCCCAACAGAUCAGUUCCACUCAGGAAGGAUUUGAACCACCAUGUCUAAAAUGCAUUGAGCAUGAUAAUGCUACAUCUGUUGCUGAAUGUUCCAUUGCUGCUACUGUUUCAUUGUCUUCACCUAUUGAUGUGGUCACUAACCCCUUUGCGGAGGAUACCACUGCUGUUGCUGAUGAAAAUGCUAUGUUGAAGACAUUGCUUGAAACAGGGAUGUACAAAAGUUUGAAGGGACAUCAGACUCUCUACGAUGUCCUCAAAAAGCAGAUCCUGAACCGAAACCCUAGGAAAGAGGGUGUUGGGUUCGAAAGGAAAAUGAAUGUUGAUGGCUGUCGGUGUCAAAACCGGCGGAUCUCGGGUAGGGGGUCCCGAACUGUGCGUCUAGGCGGAUGGUAACAGGAGACAAGGGACAUGAUGUUUUACCCAGGUUCGGGCCCUCUCGAUGGAGGUAAAACCCUACGUCCUGCUUGAUUAAUAUUGAUGAUAUGGGUAGUACAAGAGUGGAUCUACCACGAGAUCAAGGAGGCUAAACCCUAAAGCUAGCCUAUGGUAUGAUUGUUGUAAUGUAUGUUGUGUCCUAUGGACUACAGCCCUCCGGUUUAUAUAGACACCAGAGAAGGCUAGGGUUACACAGAGUCGGUUACAAUGGUAGGAGAUCUACAUAUCCGUAUCGCCAAGCUUGCCUUCCACGCCAAGGAAAGUCCCAUCCGGACACGGGACGGAGUCUUCAAUCUUGCAUCUUCGUAGUCUUGGAGUCCGGCGGACGAUGAUAGUCCGGCUGUCCGGACACCCCCUAGUCCAGGACUCCCUCAGUAGCCCCCGAACCAGGCUUCAAUGACGAUAAGUCCAGCGCGUAUAUAGUCUUCGGCGUUGCAAGGCGGGUUCUCCCUUCGAGUUCCAUGUACCUGCCGAUCAGCGUCCGGCUUCGUCAUAAAUACUGUGUUUCUUGGCUUCUACGCCCAAUAAUGGCCUUCUUCCACGCGUCGCACGAAUGCGAAAAGCCAGGGUGUCUUUUAUGUUUCACCCCCUAGUCGUGCGAGUCAUCCGCCUACAAAAGAGGCAAAAAUCCAGAUCCAAACCACACCAUCUUCCCUCCGCGAAUACUCAUCGGAGCACUUUUGACCUAAAAAUCCAUUCCACCAUGGACCGUCAACGCGGCUCCUCUUCUCGCGCUCCCAGCCCAUCGCCAGGGGAUUGGAGGAGGUGCUCUGUUCCACACAACGAGCUAGAGAAGCUCCAAGCGGGGGGAUAUCUCCCUCCGGCCUUCAUGGUCCCAGUUCGAGCCGGGCUGGCCACCUACCAAGGUGGGAAGCAAGCGGAGGCUACCCCAAGUCCCAACAAAGGGGAGCGGGUAUGCUUCGUCCCCUAUCUGAAAGGGGACUCGGAUUCCCAAUACAUCCGUUUCUCCGCGGGCUCCUGGAGUUCUACGGACUCCAGCUCCAUCACCUCACGCCCGCCUCUAUCCUGCAUAUCGCGGGCUACGUAGCUCUUUGCGAGCUUUUCCUGGGCAUCGAGCCCCAUUUUGCACUGUGGAAGAGGCUGUUCUGCCUCGUACCCCGUUCUUACGAGGGAUCCAUAUAUUAAGUAGGCGGCGCCGAAAUAUGGCGCAUUGCCGGGAUCGGAUACCCAUCCGGUACUCCUAAGAAGGCGUCCGAAGACUGGCCUUCGGAGUGGUUUUACAUAGAAGACGCUCUGCUGCUGGACCCAGUCCGGAUUGGCCUCCCGUAGUUUAAUGCUGCUCCUCUGAAGAAACGCCUUAGCUGGCGCCCAUGGAGCCCCCGAUUGGAGGAAAACAAGAGCGUCCAUUACUUGAUGGGCCGAAUAAGAUUACUAGCCCAUUCUGGGUUGACCAUGAUCGGAGUCAUGGCGACAUGCAUCAUGCGGGGGGUACAACCACUGCAAUACAGAGGCCACCCCAUGUGGGAUUUCAACGGGGAAGACGAUGCCACCCGUCACGACCGCGAAGGGCCAGAUUCGACCGAGGAUCUGGUGCAGAUCCUGUCCAGUCUGUACAAGGGGGAGAAGGAGGACUUCCUUCGAACGAACCCUUUGAAUGGGUUUUCCAUGAACAACCCUAGAGGCUGGGUAAGCAAACACUUUUAAGGGCUCACCCCAUGCUUUCGAAGUUUAGGCUUCUUACAUUAUGUCUUCGGCGCAGGAUCUACGCCGGCUAUGGAGGACAUGGUAAGUCCCGCUCCGCAACCCGAGGAUCCAGAAAGAUCCCUGGAUCCGGCCUCCGAAGAGGAUCCGGACAUCAAGGUGGAGCUGAUCGACGGGGUGUUUCACCAGCUCAGCAUGGACAAUGCUUUGGUCGCCAUUACAGCGGACUACCCCGGACUGUAUCCGGCUUCCCAGGUGACUGUGACCAAGGUCCGGACACCAUUAUCUCUUCCUUGACCAUUCCUGACCUUCGCGAACGAUGGUGUUUUACAGGAAGCGCCUUCAAGGCGGGAAGCCGAGCCCGCGGCGGCUGACCAACAAAGGUCAGUCCAGUCCAGCAGGCGGAAAAGGAGCGCGGCGCGGACUGAAACGUCGCCGCAAAGGUAUAGCUCGUGUUUAAAUUUUUCAGAGCAACGCUCCUAGGAAGCGUCUGAGUGCUCAUGAUCUUUGUAGGAGAAAAAGCGCCCGCCGGACUGCGGGCGUAGAGGUUGCCGAUCCGACCUAUACCAGCCAGGCUCCAGCGCCCGGCCUGGAGGGGAAGGCAAGCGCAAGGCGCAGGCCGGAUACUCCUCCAACGGAGGAUGCCGACAGACUGUCCGCCACCAAGUCUAAGGUGGAGAGCGCCAUGAACCACAGGCGCCGCCGGACAGUAUUUCGUGAAGCGUGCUUCUCCCCUGAGGCAUUGGACGCCUUUAACGCGGGGGACGUGCACCUCCGUGCUGCUCAAGACGGUUUUACCCGAGCCACGGAGCAGUAUGUGAAAGACAUACGGGUAAGGGAAUUUAAUGGUUAUAUAUGCCAGUAGCCCCCGAGACUUAAAGUAGUUAUGUUAACUGAUUUUAGGAUCAUUUGAAAUGCAGGCUCUUACUGAGAAGAAUGCCCAGCUGUCUCAGGAGCUACAAGAAUGCAAGGCCCAACUUGAGGCCGCACUUGCUACCGCAGGAGGAAACUCAGAGACCCCUCCUGGUAACACAUUUUCAUUAAUAAGUAUAAGCGCUAUGCGGCAUGCGCGCAAGUCUAAUAACGACUGUGCAGGUGCCGCCGGACAAGAUCCGGACAGGCAAGGAUUACUGCGCCAGCUGAAGGCCGGCGAGAGUGUGCUGAAUAGGGUGCAGCAAGAAAGGAACAAACUCCAGGAUGCCAACGCCAAGCUCGGAGAAGAGCUGAAAGGCGCUCGCACCGGUCUGUCCGGCUCCGUUAAGGAGAAUGAGCGGCUUCGUCGCGGCAUUUAUAGUAAGUGCUUGAGCGGACUCCUUUGAAAAGAAGAGUUCGGCGAGGAAGUAUAUUGACAUGAUAUGUCUUGUAGGUAUACUCACAGGUCGCCCUGCAGAGGAGAUGCCCAUAUCAACGGGUGAUCAACUUCCCGAGCUAUUGCAACUGUUCGAACGAGUUCGACAGGCAAUGAGCGACGUCGUCCAGGCUUUAUGGCCAGCCCUCUCCCUACCCGAGGGCAUUGGGGAGCUUGCGGAGAAGCUUCAGGGAGUGCGGCAUCGCUUCUGUUUGUGGAAGAUUUCGGCUUGCCGUCAAGGUGCCAGGGAGGCUUGGGCCAUGGUGAAGACGCGUUACAAGAAGGCGGAUCCCAACCACAUGGCCAAAGUUGGACCGGUGGGGCCCGAUGGGAAGGAGAUCCCUGUGAGUUUAGUAUACAGCCAGGUAGAGUUGGCUGCUAAAUUUUCCCAACGGGACUGUAAGUUAGACAGCCUGUUAGACGGGAUUGAGGAGGAAUACAAUCAGUAAAUUUGACAAUGUAUUUUAAAAUGACAUGUGAAAUGCCUUCUAGCCGGAUUGUAGAUUGUUUGUCUUUGCCGACCUUUUCGCUUUGACCUCGGGACCCUAGAGUCCGGAGUGUGUCCGAAUACCUUCUUGGUUAAGAAACAACCGGGGUAUGCAUGGAGACCAGGCAUAGGGGUCAUUAGUGCUUUAUCAAACAAGUGCCCAACUAGUUAUGUUAUAUUACAUGGUUAGUAAGAAACAUCUUCCAGGGAGAAUAGUUCCGUUAAGGGUUCCUUUCCCUGGGAGGCAUGCCCUAAAGUGCAUGUCCGGACUGCGAAAAUAGCAGGAAAACAUCUGGGGGCAGAUAAAUAAAUAGGUAGAAAAUCAUAUUUUAAAUCACCGACCGAAUAUUCCCUUAAGAACGCUAGCUUUCGGCUUCACCCAGUCUGAGGUACACAUCCGGCUGACCCGGCAGUAACAAUCGCAGAGGUGCUCCCUUUACCUCCUAGCCGAACAAUCGAGAACGUAGGGGUAAGCACAGGAGCCAGGCAACCCAUCUUGGCCAAAACUUAAGUCAUAUCGAUGCAUAUAAUGGUGAGUAAAAGGUCCAUGUGGAAGCUUGACACAUGUGCUGGGCAUGAAGCCCUUAUAAUUGAGCUUCUGGAAAAGAAGCCCCUAGGUAUAAUGAGUGCGGAUGGCACAUCAAGUGUAUGCGAACAAUGCGACGAUAGGCCCUUAGGGGCUUUUUAGCAAAAAGGUUAGGAGAAGAAAGAGAAACAAAAGACAGCCGAAGUGUAAAAAUUUGAACGAAGGAAGGGGACGAACUCUUAGUCCGGCGCUAGGCAUAGAAUCUUCGGAGGCGGGCUGCGUUCCAUGGAUUCGGCUCGAGUCGGUUAUCCGACGCAUUUUGUAGACGGUACGCUCCGCCGGUCAGGACUUGAUCGAUAAUGAAGGGCCCCUCCCAUUUGGGUUUGAGCUUGUCCUUUUUCUUGUCCGGUAGGCGUAGAACUAGUUCGCCAACGUUGUAAGUCUUGGCCCGUACUUCUCUGCUUUGAUAUCUUCGGGCCUGCUGCUGAUAGAAUGCGGAACGAGCCUUGGCGACGUCGCGUUCUUCCUCCAAUGUGUCCAAGCUGUCCUGCCGAUCCAGCUCGGCCUCUCUUUCUUCGUACAUGCGCACUCGAGGUGAGUCAUGAAUAAUGUCGCAGGGCAGGACUGCCUCUGCGCCGUAGACCAUAAAAAAUGGUGUGAAUCCGGUAGUGCGGUUAGGCGUUGUCCGCAGCCCCCAGAGUACGGAGUCGAUCUCCUCGACCCAGUGCGUGUCAGAUUUAGUAAGUGACCGCACUAGUCUGGGUUUAAUGCCGCUCAUUAUUAGACCAUUUGCUCGUUCCACUUGACCGUUGGUUUGAGGGUGAUAGACUGAAGCGUAGUCGAGCUUGAUGCCCAUAUUUUUGCACCAUGACUUAACCUCGUCGGCUGUGAAGUUCGUGCCGUUGUCGGUGAUGAUGCUGUGGGGGACUCCAUAACGGUGUACUACCCCGGAUAUGAAGUCUAUCACUGGUCCGGACUCUGCCGUUUUGACCGGUUUGGCCUCUAUCCAUUUGGUGAAUUUAUCCACCAUGACCAAUAGGUACCUUUGCUAGUGGGUUCCCCCUUUAAGGGGUCCAACCAUAUCAAGCCCCCAGACCGCGAAUGGCCAGGUAAUGGGUAUAGUUUUGAGGGCGGUGGGCGGCAUAUGGCUCUGAUUAGCAAAGAGCUGACAACCAACGCAUCUCUGGACUAAGUCCUGGGCAUCUGCCCGGGCCGUCGGCCAAUAAAAUCCUGUACGGAAUGCCUUUCCUACAAGGGCCCGGGCUGCUGCGUGGUGUCCGCCUAAUCCGGCAUGAAUUUCAGCCAGGAGGUUUCGCCCUUCCUCUUCGGAGAUACACCUUUGAAGGACUCCGGUUGUACUUUUCUUAUAAAGUUCUCCCUCAUGGACCUUGUAGGCUUUCGAUCGCCGGACUAUGCAGCGGGCCUCGUUUUGGUCUUCGGGAAGUUCCUGCCUAAGCAAGUAGGCUAGGAAUGGUUCUGUCCACGGGGCGAUUACUGCCAUUAUGUCGUGGGCUGAAGGUGUUAUGUCAUCGGCUGAAUCGUCGGUUGGCGCGGUUUUUUCCGGUUUGUCACUUCCGGGCUCCCCUUCCCAUAGUACGGAUGGCUUGAAGAGCCAUUCCAGGAAGAUAUUUGGAGGGACAGCAUCACGUUUCGCACCGAUGCGUGCCUGUACGUCAGCCGCUUGGUUAUUAUCUCGGGCUAUGUGAUGGAAUUCGAGUCCUUCAAACCGAGCUGACAUUUUUAGGACAACGUUGCGAUAUGCUGCCAUUUUCGGAUCCUUGGCGUCAAAGUCUCCAUUUAUUUGGGAUAUUGCAAGGUUUGAAUCCCCGCGCACCUCUAGGCGUUGAAUGCCCAUGGAGACUGCCAUCCGGAGACCAUGUAACAGGGCCUCGUAUUCGGCUGCGUUGUUGGAGUCCGUGUACAUUAUUUGAAGUACAUACUGGACUAUGUCCCCGGUUGGGGACGUCAAUACGACGCCAGCCCCCAGUCCGGCCAACAUUUUAGAGCCGUCGAAAUGCAUAAUCCAAUUGGAGUAUGCGCCGUACUCUUUAGGGAGUUCGGCCUCGGUCCAUUCAGCGACAAAGUCAGCCAAAACUUGUGACUUUCGCUGAGGUUUGUAAGUUAUAUCGAAUGAUAAGAGCUCAAUGGCCCAUUUUGCAAUCCUGCCCGUUGCGUCACGGUUAUUUAUGAUGUCAUUGAGUGGUACUUCGGAGGCCACUGUUAUCGAACACUCUUGAAAGUAGUGUCGGAGCUUCCGGGAUGCCAUGAACACCGCAUACGCUAUCUUCUGAUAGUGUGGGUAACGGGACUUGCAGGGGGUUAACACAGUGGAAACAUAAUACACUGGUUUUUGGAGAGGGAAUUUAUGCCCUUCUGUCUCUCGUUCGACGACGAGUAUCGCACUUACAACUUGAUGCGUUGCUGCGAUGUAUAACAACAUUGGUUCGCCCAGAUUGGGCGCAGCCAGGACCGGAUUUGUUUCCAGUAUGGCCUUUAUUUCUUCGAGUCUGGCAGUGGCAGCAUCCGUCCACUCGAAGUGUUCGGUGCGCCUGAGGAGGCGAUAGAGAGGCAGUGCCUUUUCUCCUAGACGGGAGAUAAAGUGGCUUAAAGCUGCCACGCAUCCUGUUAACUUUUGUAUCUGCUUGAGGUCUUUUGGGAUAUCCAACUGUGUCAGAGCUCGGAUUUUUGCCGGGUUUGCUUCAAUUCCUCUACCGGAUACAAUGAAGCCCAGCAGCUUUCCGGCUGGUAUGCUGAAAACGCAUUUUUCCGGAUUCAGCGUGAUGUCGUAUGCUCUGAGGUUGUCGAAUGUGAGCCUCAAAUCGUCUACUAGAGUUUCGACGUGUUUUGUUUUGACGACUACGUCGUCUAUGUAUGCUUCGACUGUUUUGCCGAUCUGGGUAGCCAGACAUGUUUGAAUCAUGCGCUGAUAUGUUGCGCCGGCAUUUUUAAGUCCGAAGGGCAUCGUGUUGAAGCAGAAUGGUCCGUAUGGAGUGAUGAAUGCCGUUGCGGCUUGGUCUGCUUCCGCCAUCUUGAUUUGAUGGUAGCCAGAGUAUGCGUCGAGGAAGCACAAUGAAUUGUGUCCUGCGGUAGCAUCAAUAAUUUGAUCGAUGCGGGGGAGGGGGAAGGGGUCCUUUGGGCAAGCCUUAUUAAGGUCUUUAAAAUCGACGCAUAGGCGCCAGGAUUUGUCCUUCUUUGGUACCAUUACCAGAUUUGCUAGCCAAUCCGGAUGUUUGAUAUCUCUGAUGAAUCCGGCUUCCAGUAGUUUGGCUAGCUCUUCUCCCAUUGCCUGUCUUUUGGGUUCGGAAAAUCGCCGAAGAGCCUGUUUGACUGGCUUAAAUCCUUUUAGGAUGUUUAGGCUGUGUUCUGGCAACAUGCGUGGGAUUCCGGGCAUAUCCGAAGGAUGCCAGGCAAAAAUAUCCCAAUUUUCCUGAAGGAAUUCGCGCAGUGCGGCGUCUACUUCGGGGUUCAAUUGUGCCCCAAUGGAGGCCGUAUUUGUUGGGUCCGUUGGAUGGACCUGGAAUUUUAUUAUUUCAUCUGCUGGUUUGAAGGAGGUGGACUUGGAUCUUUUAUCGAGUAUCACAUCGUCCCUGUUCACCGUAGAGCGCAGCGCAGUGAGUUUUUCUGCCGCUAGGGCUUCGGAUAGUGCCUCCAGGGCUAGUGCGGCUGUCUUGUUUUCGGCGCAGAGCGCUAUGUCUGGAUCACUAGCGAGAGUGAUUAUUCCGCCGGGCCCAGGCAUUUUGAGCUUCAUAUACCCGUAAUGCGGUACGGCUUGAAAAAUUGUGAAUGCCUCUCGUCCUAAUAUAGCGUGAUAUCCGCUGUUGAACGGGGCCACCUGGAACGUGACUUCUUCGGAUCUGUAAUUGUCCGGUGAGCCGAACACCACAUCGAGUGUGAUUUUUCCGGUGCAGCGCGCUUCCCGGCUAGGGAUUAUUCCUCUGAAGGUUGUGCUGCUUCGCUCAAUACGGCUCCAGUCGAUUUCCAUUUUUUGAAGAGUUUCCUCGUAGAUGAGGUUUAGUCCACUGCCGCCAUCCAUGAGGACCUUUGUAAGUCGAAAGCCGUCCACUAUGGGACUAAGCACCAGUGCGGCUGGUGCUCGGGCUGUUCGGAAUUUAGGUUCAUCGCUGGCGUUGAAGGUGAUGGCUGUGUCGCUCCAUGGAUUUGCUGUUGCUACUUGGUAGACUUCGGCGAGGCCGCGGAUUGUUCGUUUUCGCAUAUUAUUUGAUGCGAAGGUCUCGAAGACUGUUGAUACCGUACCAGUAUUGUUGGAGUGGUUUUCCGGGGCUAGAAGCUCCUCGCCACUUUUGGCCACCUGCCGUAGUAUCCAACAUGCUCGAAGGCUAUGUGUUGGGACGGCUCCCUCUGUACUAUGAAGCUUACAGGGUCCAUUGAGCCAUCCCUCCAGUACGGUUCCGUGCCCUUUAUGGGGUUUGUGCUUUUUGGUUUUUGUAUCUGGGGCCUGAGUGUGAUGCACCCUUUUGUUGCGGACUGGGGUUGUAUUCGGGGCCGGAUUGUCCCAAAACUGGUCUUCGGUUUUCCGGAAACUCUCCAUCGCGCAGUACUUUCGUACUAUGGACGCCAGAUCGGUGAAGCGUAUAAUUUUACGACGACCGAUGGCGUUCAAUAUUCCCUUGUCCGUGCAAUUAUUGCAAAAGAUUGAGAUUGCGUUCUCCUCUCGGCAGUCCUUUAUCCUGUCCAUAACCAGGAGGAAUCUGGCCCAGUAGGGGUGCACUGUUUCAGCGGGCUCUUGCCGUAUUAGAGAUAGAUCGCAUAUGUCUGGGCGGGUGGGUGGAAUAAAAUCCGGAUCCCUACCCAUCUUGAGGCUUAAAGGCCGAGGAGUUUUCGAAUUCGGAAUCUUGGAUUGCUGGACAUGAUCCAGCGGGUCCGGAAUGAUGCAUGAUUUUAAGUUCAAUGCUCGAUCGAAGUCCGUCCCUCCGUGGAAAUCCGGCAUGGAGGGUUCGAGAAUCCGGAUGUGACUAGUUUUCAAUAUAGGCGACAAGUCGCCGCAUUGCUCCUCAACCACUGCGACGCGGUGGGUGGCCUGGGGAGAGUUAAUCUCUCUCAGAUCGGUUUUAAGCCCAAUCUGAUUGUAGUCUGUAGCGACUCCUAGGGCGGCGAUGCGAUCCAAGAGCUCGUUGACAGACGAGAGCUCUAUUGGAUCCAGCCGCUCGGCGAAUUCCGAGCUGACGCGGAGAUUGCUUUCGACGACUUGGGAAGUCAUUGUCGAAGCCGUGGCCGGACAAGCGGUCAUAAGAAAACCGCCUAGCCGGAUAGUUUGGCCGGCGGCCAAGGCCCCUUUGGCGAAAAUACCGUCUUUGAAGACGGGUGGAGGCAUCCUUCCUAUCGGUGACGACACAGAGGAACUCUCAAUGAAAGCACCAAUGUCGGUGUCAAAACCGGCGGAUCUCGGGUAGGGGGUCCCGAACUGUGCGUCUAGGCGGAUGGUAACAGGAGACAAGGGACGCGAUGUUUUACCCAGGUUCGGGCCCUCUCGAUGGAGGUAAAACCCUACGUCCUGCUUGAUUAAUAUUGAUGAUAUGGGUAGUACAAGAGUGGAUCUACCACGAGAUCAAGGAGGCUAAACCCUAAAGGUAGCCUAUGGUAUGAUUGUUGUAAUGUAUGUUGUGUCCUACGGACUACAGCCCUCCGGUUUAUAUAGACACCGGAGAAGGCUAGGGUUACACAGAGUCGGUUACAAUGGUACGAGAUCUACAUAUCCGUAUCGCCAAGCUUGCCUUCCACGCCAAGGAAAGUCCCAUCCGGACACCAGACGGAGUCUUCAAUCUUGCAUCUUCGUAGUCUUGGAGUCCGGCGGACGAUGAUAGUCCGGCUGUCCGGACACCCCCUAGUCCAGGACUCCCUCAAUGGCUCGUACUGGAAGCCUGAGCAGUACCCUAAAACGACAUGGGUUGCUUCAAAGGAACCUUCAGUAGAUCCAUCCACUUUAUCUGGCUUUACCUGUGCUAAUCCUAUUAUCAUUGAUGAAUCCUUUGAUGCAAACUAUAAGCUGUUUAAAAAUCAGAAUGGUGAAGUGUUUGCCAGGUACAUUGGUACUAACUGCAGGAAUGGACCACCUAUGAAGAAGAUCGGGGUACCUAAGCGGUACAUUGAGAAUCUUCCUGUGAAUGUCAUCAUGACACCACCAAGGAAGAAGACAAACCCCAGACCUAUAGCUUCAUGUGGCCCAAAGGCUUCAUACAGAUACAGGACUCACAUGAGUCACCCUAACGCCAAUGUUUUGCAGGGAAAUCAUGCUCAGACUUAUGAAUAUGAGCGUGUAUCUUCAAACCGCUAUGUUCAUAGGACCAAGAACUUUUCUGCUUAUUCAUAUGAGUAUCAUUCAUCUCCUGCAAGGCUAUUUGCUAGGGCUUCAAAGCCAAAAUUCUCAGAUGCUGCACUUAGACUCAUUGCUUCUAAGCCCCCACUGAAGAUGUGGGUGGCAAAGAAGAACUAACUCUCUUUUGCAGAAAACGGUCUCCAGCCAGCAAUCAAUGGCGUCCGAUACUAUUGCUGGGGACCUAAAAUUCACUAAGGACGCACGAUAAAAUGUCAUUCUAUAUACUUCAUCUGAAUCUCUUAUCAGUCAUACUAUGUCCUAACCUUGAUAUAAGCUGUGACUGUCCCUAUAUGUGUCAAAUGCUUAUGCUUCACAACACCCUUGUGAAGCCUAUCCUCCUAAAUGCACUGUAGGGUACAUCACCAAAAGCUUCAGAAUGGAUUAUGGACAGUGGAUGCACAAAUCAUAUGACUAGUGAUCGAAGUCUUCUCAUGGACUCAACUUUACGUCCAUCCGACAAGAGUCACAUCACAUUUGCUGACACUGGUAAAAGCAAAGUAUUGGGACUAGGUAGAGUUGCAAUCUCAAAGGAUCAACACAUGGAUAAAGUGAUGCUUGUUGAAUCCCUUGGUUUCAACUUAAUGUCUAUCUCAAUGCUUUGUGACUUGAACAUGAUUGUGAUAUUUGACAAAUAACGUUGCCUUGUACUAAUGGAAUCGGACAAAUCUCUAGUCUUUGAAGGGUAUCGAAAAGAUGAUCUAUACAUGGUAGAUUUCUCAGCAGGUCCACAGCUUGCCGUUUGUCUUCUCACAAAAGCUUCAGAAUGCUGGCUCUGGCAUCGAAGGCUGGGACAUGCUGGCAUGAGGAACUUACACUCACUCGUCAAGAAGAAGCAUGUCAUAGGCAUCGAAGAUGUCAAGUUCAAGAAGGAUCAUCUGUGUGGUGCCUGUGAAGCUGGAAAGAUGACAAGGGCAAAGCACCCCUCGAAGACAAUCAUGACAACAUCUCAACCCUUCGAGCUGUUACACAUGGACUUAUUUGGACCUACGCACUACUCCACCCUCACAACAACUGCCUGUCUCUAUGGCUUCGUCAUUGUUGAUGACUACUCAAGAUACACAUGGGUUCAUAUAAUUCUGUACAAGACUGAAGUGCAAGAUGUCUUCAGGCGCUUUGCAAAUCGAGCAAUGAACAAUUAUGGCAUGAAGAUCAAGCACAUCAGAAGUGACAAUGGCACUGAAUUCAAGAACACUGGACUUGAUCUGUAUCUGGAUACAAUGGGAAUCACUCAUGAGUUCUCUGCUCCGUACACACCUCAGCAAAACGGCAUUGUUGAGCGCAAAAACAGAACCCUCAUUGAGAUGGCUCGAACGAUGCUAGAUGAGUACAAGACACCAAGAAAGUUCUGGCCUGAAGCUAUUGAUACAGCAUGUCACAUCAUCAUCCGUGUAUACAUUCAUAAGCUUCCGAACAAAACAUCAUAUGAGCUACUCACUGGCAAGAAGCCAAAUGUUAGUUACUUCAGAGUAUUUGGAGCUAGAUGCUGGAUAAAGGAUCCCCAUCACAAGUCAAAAUUUGCACCUAAGGCUCACGAAGGCUUCAUGCUUGGCUAUGGAAAGGAUUCACACUCCUACAGAGUCUUCAACCUUUAUCUAUACAAAAUCGUUGAAACUGUGGAUGUGAAAUUUGAUGAAACUAAUGGUUCACAGAGAGAGAUUCUGCCAAGUACACUAGAUGAAGCUCCUUCAAACAAGGCAAUCAAGCUGAUGGGAACUGGUGAAAUCAUGCCCUCUGAAGCACAGCCUGAAGAGGAACUUAUCAUCUCUGCACCAAAUCAACCUGAAGGCAAUGCUCAGACCAAAGACAAUCCUCCCAAUGAUGACAAUGAUCAGACGGAGCAAAAUCUUCGUCCUGUUCAUCCUCGUGUUGCAAAUGAAGUCCAAAUAGAGAAGAUUAUCGACAGCAUCAAUGCACCUGGUCCGCUCACUCGAUCAAGAGCAACACAGCUAGCAAACUUCUGUGGGCACUUUUCAUUUGUGUCAAUAUCAAAACCCAAGAAAGUUGCUGAAGCUUUUAUGGAACCUGAAUGGAUUCAAGCAAUGCAAGAAGAACUUCAACAGUUCAAGCUGAAUAAUGUUUGGGAACUUGUCAAGCGACCGGAUCCUCGCAAGCAUAAUAUUAUUGGAACAAAAUGGAUAUAUCGAAACAAGCAAGAUGAGCAUGGUCAAGUCAUCAGAAACAAAGCUCGUCUUGUGGCUCAAGGUUACACUCAAGUUGAAGGAAUUGACUUCGAUGAAACAUUUGCUCCUGUAGCUAGGCUUGAAGCUAUUCGAAUACUACUAGCCUACGCAAAUCAUCACAAUAUCUUGCUAUAUCAAAUGGAUGUAAAGAGUGCAUUUCUCAAUGGCAAGAUUGAAGAAGAAGUAUAUGUCGCACAACCACCUGGCUUUGAAGAUCCAAAACAUCCUGAUAUGGUGUACAAGCUAAACAAGGCACUGUAUGGCCUCAAACAAGCCCCUCAUGCCUGGUAUGAUACAAUCAAAGACUUCCUGAAGAGCAAAGGCUUCAAACCUAGAUCCAUCGAUCCCACUCUCUUCACGAAGACAUAUGAUGGUGAACUAUUUGUGUGCCAAAUAUAUGUGGAUGACAUAAUCUUCGGAUGCACCAACCAGAAGUAUAGUGAUGAGUUUGGGUACAUGAUGCAAGAGCAAUAUCAAAUGUCCAUGAUGGGUGAGCUGAAGUUCUUCCUUGGUCUUCAAAUUCGUCAGUAGAGGAAUGGCAUCUUUAUAUCUCAAGAGAAAUACCUCAAAGAUUGUCUGAAGAAGUUUGGAAUGGAAGACUGCAAAGGCUACACGACGCCAAUGCCAGCCAAACACCAUCUUGGUCCCGACGACAAUGGUAAAGAGUUCGAUCAAAAGGUAUAUCGCUCCAUGAUUGGUUCUUUGCUUUAUUUAUGUGCAUCUAGGCCAGAUAUUAUGCUUAGUGUUUGCAUGUGUGCUCGAUUCCAAACGGCACCAAAGGAAUCGCAUCACUUAGCUGUGAAGCGAAUUCUUCGAUAUUUGGCUUACACCCCAACACUCGGAUUAUGGUAUCCCAAGGGCUCAAGAUUCGAUUUGGUUGGAUUCUCGGAUGCUGAUUAUGCUAGUGACAAGGUGGAUCACAAGUCUACAUCUGGCACAUGUCAUUUUCUUGGUCGAUCACUUGUCUGUUGGUCUUCGAAGAAGCAGAACUAUGUAUCACUCUCAACUGCUGAAGCUGAAUACAUUGCUGCUGGAUCCUGUUGUGCUCAGCUUCUAUGGAUGAAGCAAACUCUCAAGGAUUAUGGCAUCAAUCUGAAGCUAGUACCUCUCUUCUGAGACAAUGAAAGUGCCAUCAAAAUUGCCAACAAUCUAGUCCAACACUCGAAGACAAAGCACAUUGAAAUUCGUCAUCACUUCCUCAGAGAUCAUGUUAUGAAGAAAGAUAUCGAUAUCAUUCACGUCAACACUGAAGAGCAACUGGCAGAUAUCUUCACAAAGCCCUUGGAUGAGAAAAGAUUUUGCAAGUUACGGUGUGAGCUAAAUAUCUUGGAAUCCUCUAAUGUCCUGUGAUCAGGCACACAUCCUAACACUUAUGCAUGUUGAUGACUUAGAUGUGCAACACACAAAGUAAGGUAUAUCUUCAAUCUAUGAAGAUUUACAUUCUGAGUGUGAAUACAUUAACAUGGAAUUUGACUUCGGAACACCACGAUAAUUGUGCGCCGUGUCUGGGUCUAAUACUUCCUAUACGGUGGGUAACGCCACCACCAACUUUUUGUUUGAAGUGUUUCACUCAAGGCGUUAUAUUGCAAAGACUUCGCAUUUGGUUUGUCUUCAGUUUCAAUUUGUCUUCAUGACCUUCUGCACUAUGAUGAUUUGAUUGCUUUCUGAUAUAUAUAUAUAUAUAUAUAUAUAUAUAUAUAUAUAUAUACUAGUGUUCUGUCCUCUACAGCAUUCACUUAUAGCUAUGUCUUCAAGAUUGGAUCUUUUGAACUAAGUGAAUGUGAUCGGACCCUAACCUCUCUAUGCUUCCUAUCUCAAACUCUAUCUGUCCAAAUCAUAUGCAUUCUAUUGAAACUGUCAAAUGUCUUCUCCACAUCCUAGUCAGCAGAAGGCAAAGAGACAAACAUUAAAUCUAUUUUAAAUGACUUAUCUUUAAUGUUGAAAUUCGGAGAAGCUGGAACAACUCUCCGACAUGCCUGGCGGGCGAGGGAACGUGGGACAGCUCUAAGUAUGUUGCAUGCUUGCCAUGUGCCCCUCAGAUGUGAACCGCCAGGGGCACCAGCGUAACUGCGCUGUGUCUCUCACCUACUUAUAAAUACUUGUCCCCUGCGGUAAAGAAAUCUUUCUCCCACCUCUCCACCUCCGUCAAAACCCUAGCGCCACCGCUAGCUCGCGACGACGCCGGCGACAAAGCGCUUAGCUGCCGCGACUUCUCCGACGCCGUCCUCACGCCGGCCGCAGACAUCGUCCUCUCCGCCGUCGCCGUAGGUGUCCUCCGUCGCCAAGUUAGGGCACGGUGGGCUAAACUACUCGGUCUCCUAUUCUUCCAUCUAGCAAUUCUUCGUGCGGUAAUUAUAACUCUUUUUUACCACCUUUUUGAUCUUCAAGAUUCAUCCUGUUUACCGAAAGUAGUUUCUGUUUAUUCAAAGCUAGAUCUAUUCCGUCUGCAUCUCAUACUGCUUAGUCGAUUCACUUAGAUUUCUUGUCUAGUUUGAUUCCUCACUUGUACUUAUUCACGGAUUGGUACAAAUCUAGAACCAACUCACCUAUAUAAGUGAAUGUCUUCGCAUCAUGAGGUCAAUGUCUUCAAAUUGAUUUAUCUUCAAAAUCUUCUGAGAAUGCAUAUGACCUCUUCCCCUUCCCUCGCAUCUCUAAUGCUGUCACAGGUACAUGUCCGUGGGAGAAUCCCUUGGUUCUCAUAGUCUGCAUUCGUUUGCAGAAUACUUACAGCAUCAUAUAAAUUCUCCUGAAGCCAGUUCCUGCUUGACCAGCAAGCGUAAAUCUUUGAAGCCUUUGAACGUAUUGAAGCCAUUCAGCUUGAAGUUCAUGGCUACAGAGAAAUCAGCAAGGAAGGGUGGCAGACAGCGCAGAGAAGGAACAUCUAAAGAUCUGCCUGAUGACUUAGCAGAGAUGUACAAGACAGAUCCUGAAGAGAACUAUCAUCAGAGAAAGACGCGAAUCCAAUGGAUUCGACGCUAUUGGGCUGAGGAGUGGUUCAAGUACAAGUUUGUAACGAAGGAAUAUGCAGAGAAGCAUGCCAUCAAGAGACCUUGGGGUGAUAUCCUCUAUCGAGGCCUUCAACCCAAGAGCCGAGCUGAAGCCAUUGAACAAGGCUUCUAUCCAUGCAUGGUCCGUGGGCCACAUCCAGUGAACGCAGAUCCCAGCUCACUACUAUGGUGUCGUGACGACCCUCUCUUCAAGCGCAACUAUCAGUUUGCUGUGGCUUCGGCCAAGAAGAACAAGAAGUCCUUGGGUUUGGACUUCAACCCAGGUCCCUCUGCUCCCCGUGCUGAUGGCUCCCGUGAAGCUAAUCCCAAUGUCAUCGGCCCCUACGCCAACCUUGACGGCCUCAUCACCUACAUCAUGGUCCAAGGCGCCAGAGUAGAUCAUUCUGACAAUGGUGCUGACUCCGAUGAAGCCCCUGCUCCUCCUCCAAAGCCACAGAAGCAAAAGAAGUCAAAGGCUUCAACCUUAGCUGCACCUCCAAAGACUUCACGUGCGAAGCCACUGGCCACUGUACCUCCUGAAGCUAGUGUGCAAUCUGAAGAUCUGUCCCGUGUCUCCAAGAGAACGGACAAGAAGAAGCAACUUGUCAGGCCAUCUGAUCAAAGAGCCUUGACUCCUGCCGCCAUUCUGCGUGAAGAACCUAUUGAUCUAUCAAGCGAUGAAGAUCUUGCUGAUGAUGCUCUUGAGCAGCUGAUAAAGAGCAAGGAAGAAGCAGAAAUCUUCAGCAACUUACCUCUCUUUGAUGUGGCCAUCAUCCACAAUUUCAUUGAUGAGUGGUUCGACACACCCAACGUCAGCUUUGAAGAUUUACAGCUCCCCAUUGGCCUCAGUGUCGCCUUCAAUGGCGCCAUUGCUUCUGAGCUAGCUCUCGCUCAACGCAUCAUCGAGCUCAAAAACAAGAUUGACUUUGAGAAGGCUCAAUUCAAGAAGCAUGUGGCCAAGCUAAGUGUUCAAGACGUUAGAAACUUCAAGGUCAUGCUGAAUGAGCUUAAAGAAGCUUUUCUGAAGAAACGCCAAGAAGCUCAGGGCUCUCGAGAACGCAUGAAGCUUUUGGCUGAUAAGUGUGUGCUUGCCUACAAUGAGGCUGAGAAGCGCAAGUCCCUUGGCCAUCCUGGCAUUGACCCCAGGAUGGCUGCAAAGAAGAAGAACAAGCGCCCUGCUGAUCAGCCUGAACCUUCAAGCCAAGAAGCCCCUCGCAUUAUCUUCCCAAGCAGCAUGACUGGCUCGAAGCCAAAGGUCACCACAACCGCUUCAGAACAAAAGAAGACGAGGGCUGCCGAGGCUGAAGCCAGAAAAAGAAAGAACACUGAAGCCUCUGAUGCCGCUCCCCUCAAGAAGAAGCGUAAGACCAAGAAGACUAGGGCUGCUUCCACAGAGCCCUUAGUCGUUGAACCCAUUUCCGUGGUCCGCCCUGUGUCAGUACAUCAAGAACAAAGAAUGGUUGUUCAUGAGCCUGCUACCACAGAGGCUCAUGAAGCUGAAGAUAUUCUAGCAGCUGAACCCAAUGCUGCUGAAGACAUUGGUCAUGAUGACAAUGUAGCUGAUUAUGAAGUUCUUCCUCAGAUCGAAAAUGAAGUGGUAUCAUUGCCUGUUCAUACGAAUAGCGAACUCAUCAGCAUUGGUCGUCCUUUGACGCCAAUUGCUCAGGAUGCAUCGUGAGAUGAUCACCCACAACAACACCAAGACUCCCCCAGUACUCCCCAACAACAACAACAACAAGCUCCACCCCCAGUGCAAGAAGAGGAUGAAGACUUUCAGGCUCAGCCAACUCCAUCUCCUAAGGUGAAGCCAGCUCUUCGCAGGCUUCGCAGAGGACAAAGGCUUGAAGUCCCUCUGUUGAGCGUUCCAGAAGGAGAAGUGCAACGUUCACCUGUUGCACGGCAAGUAUUUUCUGAACCAGCUCCAACAGUGAAUGUCUCCGAGUCUGAAGCACAUGCUGCUGAAGACAUUCCGUCUACAUCAGCCGAAGAAAUUGAAGAAGAAGUACGUGUACCUACACCCCCAGCUAUUGAAGAAGAAGCAGUUCAUGAUCUGAACGUGCCUGUGCCCGACCCUCCUGUACAUCAAGAGGAGGUUGAAAAUGUUGAGGCUGCCACCACCAACGCCAAUACAGUCAGUGACGUAGUCAUGGCUGAUGCUAAUGUGGAGCCUGCACCAACCAGUGAACCUGAAACCAAUGAGGAUGCUGCACCUGAAGUCAAUGCGGAUGCUGCACCUGAAGCCAAUGUGACAACUGCUCCCGAAGCACCUAUCGUGCAGCCUGCCUCCAAUAUUUCCCCUGCUCCUGUUUUGCCACCUAGGCCUCACACAAUUGAGCAAGCAUACAGUCAUGGUCAGCUUACUACUGUCUGAUGGCCUGUUCUGGUGCCUCCGCCUUCUGCCUCAGGACCCCAAUUUGACUAUCAUGUUGAGCAUCGGCCUCAAGUGCAGAAGCCAAAGCCCAGGUUGCCAAGGUUUCCAGGUACUGCCAACUCCCCCGGGUCCUUCAAUGCUAAUGGCUUCAAAAGCCACAAUACCUUCUUUGACAGCGCCAAGAACCCCUACUCCAAGCCAAGGAUAGCAUCAGAUCGGUUCUAGAGCUAUCAGCAGAGAAGCUAUUACUCCUGCGUAUUAUAUGAUCAAGGGCGCAUUUUCCCUCAUAUGCGCCUUGACACUGAAGCUAUUGCUGGAUUGCCGUGCUUAGAAGAAACACUUGACUGCUUUCGUGAUGCUGGUCUGCUCCACUUUGUGACAGACAAGGAACAUUGGAAUGAAGAGCUAUUGCUUCAAUUCUAUGCCACCCCGCACAUUCGCGGCUACUACAGAGACAUCAAGACAUGGGUUCUCGAGUGGAUGACUAGCAAUGUUCAUCAUGAAGCCAAAGCUAUGGAUAUCAUCGAGCUUACUGGGCUAGCCACUCCUGGAGAACUGUAUGAGCCUAACUGUCAGCUACACCGCAAUGCUGUGGAGAGCAUCUUCCACAAGCCAGAACCCAAUAUGAGCCAGAUGCUGAGCAUGAUGAAGCCUUUGCCAUCUAACGCUGAGUAUCCCACACAUUUCUUUGUUGAAGACCUUGAGUAUCUGCCUCGAACCAUAUAUCAUAUCAUCAGGAGAACUCUAUGGCCAGUCAAGGGACACUCAUCAGCGGCCGAGCUUGAAGGAGCUAUGAAGACUUUGGUCUUCUACAUUCUCAAUGGCAUCAGCUUCAACACUCAGGAAUUCUUCAUCAGGCAACUUGCUGCUUCCGGCUCCGACCUAUUUGGUCUGAAGUUUUAUGCUCCAUGGGUCAUGCACCUCAUCAAGCGACACUCAUCUGUCAAUUAUCAGCCAUCUGCUCGCAAUCACAUAAUAUUUCUGCCAGAGGUUGAUAUGUCAGUUGAUGCUAUAUACUCUGACCCUGCCAAGACGCCACUUUGUCUUCAGAAUAUUGAGCACCAAAGCUUCACUCAGCCUAUUGAAGGUGUUCAAGCAGCGACAAGAAUCUAUCCAUGGGCUGGUAACACUCGUCUGCCUCAUAGAGCGCCCACUGAAGCCACUGAAAGCACCAUUGCGCAAAGGCCUCGCAAGCGUUCUCGCGUUCUCAAUGACCGAGAACUUCUUGUGGCCCUUCAUCAGAAACAGGACAAGCAUCAUUUCUGGCUCAAGAGACAGAUGCGAAGCCUCUUGGUGGAUGUUAAUCGCAUUCGCAACCUUGCCACCAAGAAUGCCUUUGUUGCUCAUGAAACUUGCCGGCGAUCAUGGAAGAGUUUGACCCUGCUCAGUGCUGAAGCUGAUCUUCAAGAUGAUGGCUUCAAUGAAAGAUUCCAAUUUGACUCCACUCCUCCAAGGACUGCUGUCUUACAUCGCACCCCAUCUCUUGAAGACUCUGAAUAUUAUUCUUCCGCGGCAACAGUUAAUGCCAGAGUGAUCGAUGAUGAAGACGAUGCUACUUCACCACCUCCAACUACUGCGCGCAUCGACACUGCACCAAGUACAUAUGCACCGCCAACCAACGACGACAACCCUGCUGCUUCACCUACUCAUGACGAGUAGAUGCUCUAUGUCUUCAAACCUUUUUGGUCAUUACUGACAAAAGGGGGAGAAGCGUAUGAGUUGAUAGUCUUCAAGCGGGUUCAUAUGGGCGGUUGCAUUAUAUUUUGCUACGUGCUUACAACUCUUAUGUUUUGAAACAUUUGGUUCUUUGAGUUGUAACACCUAAACUUGAUGGUCGUCUGCUACUUCUGCUACUUGUUUGCUUUACUAUGAUGCGAUGAUAAAUUCCGCAUGUGCGAUGAUAACUUCCGCACUUAGAUCAUUCUGCAGACGUCCAUUUUUCAUCAUGCAUGUCAUCUUACUUGCUAUAUCAUUUCAUGCAUGAUGAAUUAUCUUCAUAAGUUGAAGUGGAUCUCCACAAGUACAACCUGCCAUGUGCAUUUGCAAUCCAAAAGAAAAUUACUUAUAUGCACAUCUUCAGGGGGAGCCCUUGCAACUUAUGAAGACAAUUUCCUAUCCCUACAAUUUCACAUACUUUAUCCCCGUUGAAAACUUCAACCAAUUUGUCAUCAAUCACCAAAAAGGGGGAGAUUGUAAGUGCAUCUAGUGCCACCCCUAGUUGGUUUUGGAGUAUUGACGACAAAGUUGGUUGAGGGACUGAUGCGUUUGUGAGAAUUGCAGGAUAACGCAGGUAGUGUCCCUCAUUGAUUCGGUUUACCUACCGGAGAUGACCCCUAAAAAUGUAUGAAGACAUUGAAGACAAUGGUGGUAUGAGAAGAUAUUCAUAUUGAAGACUAUGACAUGAGAAGACAUUACGUGAAGACAAUGGAGCGCGAAGACUGUGUGGUUUCGUCGUUUCCUUUUCUUCUUUGUUGAGUCAUAGGAACCACCGUACUGUUAAGUGGGGUCCAAGUGAACUAAGUCAGAGUGACUGAUGUGAUGCUCAACCCAAAUCCUAUGUCUUUGAGCGAAGACAAUGAGAGCAAAUCUUAUUCAGAGCUGGAUGAGUCAGCUUUGCUUGUAGCCCAAGUAAAGCUGUCGUGUGUGUUUGAAAUCUGACCGUUGGAACACGUGUCAGUUCCUUAGUGACCCAGGGUCAUUUUGGACAAAUCCGGUCGGGUUGCCUAGUGGCUAUAAAUAGCCCACCCCCUACACCAUAAAUUGGCUGGCUGCUCAGAGUUUGUGCACGGCUUUUGUCGUUUGAGAGCAACCCACCUCGAAGCAUUUGAGAGAGAGAAAUCCUUGCGAGGACAAAGCCCAAAUACCCAGAGCCAAAGAGUGUUAGGCAUCACUGAAGUCUUUCUGUCUGUGUGACCUGAAGACUUAUUACACUUGAGGACUGUGAAUCCUCCAGCUGGUUAGGCAUCGCGUUCUGAGCAUCCAAGAGUCAUUGUGGAUUACCGGUGAACAAAGUCUGUGAAGGUUUGGAAGUCUCCCUUGAAGACUUACCAGAGUGAUUGGGCGAGGACUGGGUGUCCUUAGCUCAAGGGGAAUAAGGUGAAGACGCGGUCUUUUGAGUUAAAUCUCAGCCUCCCUAACCAGAUGUACAGUUGUCACAGCAACUGGAACUGGUCCAACAAAUCCUGUGUCUUCAACAAGCAACUGGUUCUAUCCCUUCCAACCUUACUUAAGUUUGUCUUCGUGAAGUCAUUGCUUAUCUGUAUAUCUGUUUGACUUCAUUGCUUGACUACUAUUGUUGAUUGGCUUCACACUAUAUUCCAUCUUGAUCCUUACUACCUAACUGCUAGUAGCCCUGUAUUUUCACAUCAUUACAUACUUGACUAUGGCUUGUUUAGGGUAGUUUAUCUUCCGUUGCAUAUCAAUUAGGUUGUUUUUGUUGUUUGUCUUCGAAACUUCCAAGUUUUGAAGACUUUCAUAAAAAUCGCCUAUUCACCCCCCCCUCUAGUCGAUACUAGCACUUUCACUUAGAAAAAAUAAGGAGAGGACUUUCGGGAUGGAGCGCCACCGUCUCGAGGCGAAACUUGGGCAGGAGCACUUUUGCUCUCCGUCGGAGCGAUUUCGUCGGGGACACUUCCCUCCAGGAGGGGGAAAUCGAAGCUAUCGUCAUCACCACCAACCCUCUCAUCGUGGGAGGGCCAAACUCCAGCAACAUCUUCAACAUCACCAUCUCAUCUCAAAACCCUAGUUCAUCUCUUGUGUUCAAUCUUUGUAUCAGAACCUCAUAUUGGUACAUGUGGGUGACUAGUAGUGUUGAUUACAUAUUGUAGUUGAUGCUAGGUUAUUUGGUGGAAGAUUAUAUGUUCAGAUCCAUUAUGCUAAUUAUUACUCCUCUGAUCUUGAGCAUGAAUAUGUUGUGUGAGUAGUUACUUUUGUUCUUGAGGACAUGGGAGAAGUCUUGUCAUAAGUAAUUGCGUGAAUUGGAUAUUCGUUCGAUAUCUUGAUGAUAUGUAUGUCGUGAUUCCCUUAGUGGUGUUAUGUGAACGUCGACUACAUGACACUUCACCAUCUUUGAGCCUAAGGGAAUGCAUUGUGGAGUAACUAUUAUAUGAUGGGUUGCUAGAGUAAUAGAAGCUUAAACCCUGGUUUAUGCGUUAUUCCGUAAGGGGAUGAUUUGGAUCCAUACGUUUAAUGUUAUGGUUAGAAUUUAUCUUAAUUCUUUUUUCGUAGCUGCAGAUGCUUGCGAGAGGCGUUAAUCAUAAGAUGGAGGCUUGUUCAAGUAAGAACGGCACCCAAACACUAGUCCACCCACAUAUCAAAUUAUCAAAGUAGCGAACGCAAACCAAACCAACAUGACGAAAGUGACCAGAUGAAAUUCUGGUGUGUCCUCAAGAAUGCUUUGCUUACUAUAAGAGCUUGUUUUCGCUUUUCCUUUGCUACAAAAGAGAGUUGGGCUGCCUUGCUGCACCUAUUGUUACUAUUUCUACUUUUUACUUGUUACAAAUUAUCUUGCUCUCAAACUACGUGUUACCGAUAAUUUCAGUGCUUGCAGAAUUUACCUUGCUGAAAACCGCUUGUCAUUUGCUUCUGCUCCUCGUUGGGUUUGACACUCUUACUUAUUGGAAGGACUACGAUUGAUCCCCUAUACUUGUGGUUCAUCAAGAAACUUUUCUGUCGCCGUUGUCGGGGAGCGAAGCGCUCUUAGUAAGUGGAAAUUGGUAAGGAAAAAUUUAUAUGACAUGCUGAAAUUUGCUAUUACUUGUUACUAUGAAAAACAAUCCUUUGAGGGGUUUGUUCGAGGUAUCUUUGUAAUGCCCCGGAUACAACUUUCCAUAUUUGUAACUCCAACUCUUGUUAAGCCAUUUCCGGCUAUGUGAUAUGUUAUUUCCUUCGUGGUUGGGUUUUGUCUUUUGUUUUGCAUUUUGUUCAUGUCAUGCAUCUCAUCUCAUGGCAUCAUGUGCAUUGCAUCCGCAUGUUUUCAUAAAACUCGCACCCGUUCGUAGUUGCCGCGUUCCUAAAACAUCUCCGUUUUAUUAUUUGGACUCCCUGCCUAUUUUAUUCUGGACCGUUCGAUUGCGAUCGAAGGGACGAAUUAGCCCCUAAACUAACCUAAUCCAACUACUAUUUAAACUGACCUAACCCUAAAAUCUCGAAUGGUUGUCCCAUCCUUCCCAUCCCCGCCACCACCCACCUACCUUUCUUCCUCGGGAUCCCCUCGUUCCCCCCGAUCCAAUCCCACCAACCAGACUCCACCUGAGGCCUCCCCUCGAUCCAACUCGUCUUCACUCUCCUCAUCGACCAGGGAGACGAGCUCCUCCUGAGACCAGCAGAUGAUCCCCCGUCGCGACCCUCUCCUUCUGUUCCCUCUUCCCUGCAGCUCCCUCUCCCUAAUCUCCUCAUACCUCUGUAUCUCAACAGGAGCUCCAGCACCAUGGCCAUCCGAGCUCGGCCCGCGCAGCUCGGAGACUCCAAGCCCCCUCGUUCCAGCAGUCUAGGAGGAUGCCGCCGUGCCCGUGCUGCAUCCCGCGAACCAGCCGGCGACCCCGACCUUCAGGCUACCCCGACGCGCUCGAUGCCUCCUCCUCCACCCCUCUGCGAGCCCCCGACGCCACCUCAUCCUGCCGCCGGCGGCGACCAGCAGGUCAUGUCGCCGUGCCUCUUCCUUCCCCGUCCCCGUCGCCCUCUCUUGUUCUCCAUUUUUUUCCUCUGCCUCCAGUCUCAAGUUCUCUCUGUUUCCCAGCACAAGGCUUCGUUGCCGUCAUCCUCGUGCUACUUCAUCGUUGCUGCCGGAUCCGCCUCGCCGAGUCCUCGCCCCCGCGUUGGUUCUGCGCCUUGCCAUGGCGCCGCUGCUGGUGAGUCGCUGUCGUUCAGCAAGGCCCCUCUCGGCCUCUCCUUUUUCCUUACCCGACUUGUUUCUCUCUGAAUUUGUCUCCUCGUUGAAUAGAGGACAAGCGCCACCUUCUCCAGCUCCGCCAGAACGCCACCUCGCCGAAGAGCCCAUGCCAGGGUCAUCCUCUUCUUCUGAUCUGGCGCCGUCCCAGGAGCUUGCCGUUAGAUCCAGUGAUCUCCUCCCGUUCCCGUCGCUCCGUCAUCCUCUGAGUUGCCCAUGCCGCGGCGGCUUUGCUUCCUGUCGAGCAGAGGACGCCCGCUCGUCCCAGCCGCGUUGACUGUGUCCUGUCCCUCCCGCGCCAAGGCCCAACGCUCCAGCCUCCCUUGCCGGCCUCACCUCACCGUCGAACUAGGCUGUGGCCCAUGGUGAGCAGCCCCCGCCCUCUGUAUGCUCUGUUGGCCCAGCCAGUUUUGGCCCGCUUAUGUUUUUUUAGCAUCUGCGAAUUUAGCUAUUUAUCCAGUGAAUUGACAUAUUUGCAGAAAACCCCUCUAACUUCAUGCAUAUAAUAACUCAUGAACUAUGCAUCAUAUGUAAAUAAUUUAUAUAUGAAAAAUGCUUAGAAUUUCAUCUAGUUUCAUAUUAUGCUGCUUUCAACCAUGUUUGAAAUGUUUAAAAUGUUGUUUGUUUAAAUUUGCUCAAAUGCCAUGUUAAAAUGAUUUAUUUCAUAACUAAAUAACCGUAGCUCCAAAUUUAAUAAACUUUAUAUGUAAAUGGGGUGGAAAAAUGCAUAGAUUAACUUGGUGCACUUUGUUUUACUGCUUAACAACAUUGUAAUAUGGUUUAGGGCAGAACAGUACCAAAUUCAAAAUAUGGACAUGAGGAUUUUCCGGAAUUGUUGUUUGGUUUUUCCGGCCUCAUUUAAACUUGCCUAAAUAGUUAGAUUACUUAUGUUACAUCUCUUGCCAUGUUUAACAACAUUUAAUAUUGUUGUGUACCUAAACGAGAGCGAACUAAAUAACUCGAAUGUGGUGUUUCAUCAAUAUGCAACUCGUUGCAUAUUGAGCUCCACUUAACUUGUAGUAUUGUUUCUUGCACUUUGUCAUGUCAUGCCUCAUUAAACCGGACAUGCAUCAUACUUGAUUUUGCAUCAUGCCAUGAUUAUGCUUGUGUGUUUACCAUGUUGUUUCCUCCUUUCUGGUUUGCUUCUCUCGUUAGCUUCGGUUUCGUUCUGGAGUUAUGAGGAUUCGUUUGACUACGUCCAUUUGUGUCCUUCAUGGACUCGAUCUUCUUCCUUGCGGGAUUUCAGGCAAGAUGACUGUCACCUUGGAUCUCACUUCUAUCAUUGUUAUGCUAGUUGCUUCGUUCUAUCGCUUUGCCGCACUACCUAUCUCUUGUUGCUCAAGCCUCCCAAAUUACCAUGUCAGCCUCUAACCUUUUCACCCUUCCUAGCAAACCGUUGCUUGGCUAUGUUACCGCUUUGCUCAGCCCCUCUUAUAGCGUUGUUAGUUGCAGGUGAAGUUGAAGAUUGCUCCAUGAUGGACAGGAUUAUGUUGGGAUAUCACAAUAUCUCUUAUUUAAUUAAUGCAUCUAUCUACUUGGUAAAGGGUGGAAGGCUCGGCCUUAUGCCUGGCGUUUUGUUCCACUCUUGCCGCCCUAGUUUCCGUCAUACCGGUGUUAUGUUCCUUGAUUUUGCAUUCCUUACACGGUUGGGAGAUUUAUGGGACCCCGUUGACAGUUCGCUUUGAAUAAAACUCCUCCAGCAAGGCCCAACUUUGGUUUUACCAUUUGCCUACCUAAGCCUUUUUCCCUUGGGUUUCCGGAGCCCGAGGGUCAUCUUUAUUUAACCCCCCGGGCCAGUGCUCCUUCGAGUGUUGGUCUGAACCGAGUAGACUGCGGGGCCACCACGGGGCAACUCGAGGGCUGGUUUUACUCGUAGGCGGACCUAUCUGUUGUGCCCUGAGAACGAGAUAUGUGCAGCUCCUAUCGGGAUUUGUCAGCACAUCGGGCGGCUUUGCUGGUCUUGUUUUACCAUUGUUGAAAUUUCUUGUAAACCGGGAUUCUGAGACUGAUCGGGUCUUCCUGGGAGAAGGAAUAUCCUUCGUUGACCGUGAGAGCUUGUGAUGGGCUAAGUUGGGACACCCCUGCAGGGUAUAAACUUUCGAGAGUUGUGCCCGUGGUUAUGUGGUAGAUGGGAAUUUGUUAAUGUCCGGUUGUAGAUAACUUGACACUUGACUUAAAUAAAACGCAUCAACCGCGUGUGUAACCGUGAUGGUCUCUUUUCGGCGGAGUAUGGGAAGUGAACACGGUUUUGGGUUAUGUUUGACAUAAGUAGGAGUUCAGGAUCACUUCUUGAUCAUUGCUAGCUUCACGACCGUUCGUUGCUUCUCUUCUCGCUCUUAUUUGCGUAUGUUAGCCUCCAUAUCAUGCUUAGUCGCUGCUGCAACCUCACCACUUUACCCCUUCCUUACCCAUUAAGCUUUGCUAGUCUUGAUACCCAUGGUAAUGGGAUUGCUGAGUCCUCGUGGCUCACAGAUUACUACAACAACAGCUGCAGGUACAGGUUGCGAUGAUCAUGAUGCGAGAGUGAUGCUUGCUUGUUUUGGAGUUCUUCUUCUGCUUCUUCUUUGAUCAGGGGAUAGGUUCCAGGUUGGCAGCCUGGGCUAGCAGGGUGGAUGUCGUUUGAGUUUCUGUUUGUGUUUCAUCCUUAGUCGGAUGUGGCUCUUGUGUAUGAUGUUGUUGUAUUCAUGUGGUAUUGUUUGCCUCUUGUAUGUAUCCCCAACUAUUAUGUAAUGGUACGAUGUAAUGAUAUCCACCUUGCAAAAGCGUCUCCAAUAUGUGUUGGAAAUAUGCCCUAGAGGCAAUAAUAAAAGUAUUAUUAUAUUUCCUUGUUCAUGAUAAUUGUCUUUUAUUCAUGCUAUAACUGUAUUAUCCGGAAAUCAUAAUACAUGUGUGAAUACAUAGACCACAAUAUGUCCCUAGUAAGCCUCUAGUUGACUAGCUCGUUGUGAUCAACAGAUAGUCAUGGUUUCCUGGCUAUGGACAUUGGAUGUCGUUGAUAACGGGAUCACAUCAUUAGGAGAAUGAUGUGAUGGACAAGACCCAAUCGUAAGCAUAGCACAAAGAUCGUGUAGUUCGUUUGCUAGAGCUUUUCCAAUGUCAAGUAUCUCUUCCUUAGACCAUGAGAUCGUGUAACUCCCGGAUACCGUAGGAGUGCUUUGGGUGUAUCAAACGUCACAACGUAACUGGGUGACUAUAAAGGUGCACUACAGGUAUCUCCGAAAGUGUCUGUUGGGUUGACACGGAUCGAGACUGGGAUUUGUCACUCCGUGUAAACGGAGAGGUAUCUCUGGGCCCACUCGGUAGGACAUCAUCAUAAUGUGCACAAUGUGACCAAGGGGUUGAUCACGGGAUGAUGUGUUACAGAACGAGUAAAGAGACUUGCCGGGAACGAGAUUGAACAAGGUAUCGGUAUACCGACGAUCGAAUCUCGGGCAAGUACAAUACCGUUAGACAAAGGGAAUUGUAUACGGGAUUAAUUGAGUCCUUGACAUCGUGGUUCAUCCGAUGAGAUCAUCGUGGAACAUGUGGGAGCCAACAUGGGUAUCCAGAUCCCGCUGUUGGUUAUUGACCGGAGAACGUCUCGGUCAUGUCUACAUGUCUCCCGAACCCGUAGGGUCUACACACCUAAGGUUCGAUGACGCUAGGGUUAUAAAGGAAGUUUGUAUGUGGUUACCAAAUGUUGUUCAGAGUCCCGGAUGAGAUCCUGGACGUCACGAGGAGUUCCGAAAUGGUCCGGAGGUAAAGAUUUAUAUAUGGGAAGUCCUGUUUUGGUCACCGGAAAAGUUUCGGGUUUUAUCGGUAACGUACCGGGACCACUAGGAGGGUCCUGGGGGUCCACCAAGUGGGGCCACCGGCCCCAGAGGGCUGCAUGGGCCAAGUGUGGGAGGGGACCAGCCCCAAGUGGGCUUGUGCGCCCCCCACCAAGGCCCAAGGCGCCUAGGGUUUGGGGAGGGGGUGCUUCCACCUAACUUGGGGGGCAAGUUUCCCCCCUCUCCCCCCUUGGCCGCCACCCUUAGAUGGGAUUGGGGCUGCCGCACCCCUUGGGGUGGAAACCCUAGGGAGGGCGCACCCCCCUCCCUCUCCCCUAUAUAUAGUGGAGGUCUUGAGGGCUGCCAACAGAUGAGAACUUCUCCUCUUGGCACAGCCCUACCUCUCUCCCUUCUCCUCAUAUCUCGCGGUGCUUGGCGAAGCCCUGCUAGACUACCACGCUCCUCCAUCACCACCACGCCGUUGUGCUGCUGCUGGAUGGAGUCUUCCUCAACCUCUCCCUCUCUCCUUGCUGGAUCAAGGCGUGGGAGACGUCACCGGGCUGUACGUGUGUUGAACGCGGAGGUGCCGUCCGUUCGGCACUAGGAUCUCCGGUGAUUUGGAUCACGACGAGUACGACUCCUUCAACCCCGUUCUCUUGAACGCUUCCGCUUAGCAAUCUACAAGGGUAUGUAGAUGCACUCUCCUUCCCCUCGUUGCUGGUUUCUCCAUAGAUAGAUCUUGGUGACACGUAGGAAAAUUUUGAAUUUCUGCUACGUUCCCCAACAGUGGUAUCAGAGCUAGGUCUAUUGCGUAGAUUCUUUGCACGAGUAGAACACAAAGUAGUUGUGGGCAUUGAUUUUGUUCAAUAUGCUUACCGUUACUAGUCCAAUCUUGUUUCGACGGUAUUGUGGGAUGAAGCGGCCCGGACCGACCUUACACGUACACUUACGUGAGACAGGUUCCACCGACUGACAUGCACUUGGUGCAUAAGGUGGCUAGCGGGUGCCAGUCUCUCCCACUUUAGUCGGAACGGAUUCGAUGAAAAGGGUCCUUAUGAAGGGUAAAUAGCAAUUAGCAUAUCACGUUGUGGUUUUGCGUAGGUAAGAAACGUUCUUGCUAGAAACCCAUAGCAGCCACGUAAAACAUGCAAACAACAAUUAGAGGACGUCUAACUUGUUUUUGCAGGGUAUGCUAUGUGAUGUGAUAUGGCCAAGAAGAAUGUGAUGAAUGAUAUGUGAUGUAUGAGAUUGAUCAUGUUCUUGUAAUAGGAAUCACGACUUGCAUGUCGAUGAAUAUGACAACCGGCAGGAGCCAUAGGAGUUGUCUUAAUUUAUUGUAUGACCUGCAUGUCAUUAAACAACACCAUGUAAUUACUUUACUUUAUUGCUAACCGGUAGCCAUAGUAGUAGAAGUAAUAGUUGGCGAGACAACUUCAUGAAGACACGAUGAUGGAGAUCAUGAUGAUGGAGAUCAUGGUGUCAUGCCGGUGACGAUGAUGAUCAUGGAGCCCCGAAGAUGGAGAUCAAAAGGAGCAAAGUGAUAUUGGCCAUAUCAUGUCACUAUUUGAUUGCAUGUGAUGUUUAUCAUGUUUAUGCAUAUUGUUUACUUAGAACGACGGUAGUAAAUAAGAUGAUCCCUUACAAAAAUUUCAAGAAGUGUUCUCCCCUAACUGUGCACCGUUGCUAAAGUUCGUCGCUUCUAAGCACCACGUGAUGAUCGGGUGUGAUGGAUUCUUACGUUCACAUACAAUGGGUGUAAGACAAAUUUACACACGUGAAACACUUAGGGUUAACUUGACGAGCCUAGCAUGUACAUACAUGGCCUCGGAACACAGAGACCGAAAGGUCGAGCAUGAGUCGUAUAGUAGAUACGAUCAACAUGAAGAUGUUCACCGAUGAUGACUAGUCCGUCUCACGUGAUGAUCGGACACGGCCUAGUUGACUCGGAUCAUGUAAUCACUUAGAUGACCAGAGGGAUGUCUAUCUGAGUGGGAGUUCAUAAGAUGAACUUAAUUAUCCUGAACAUAGUCAAAAGAUCUUUGCAAAUUAUGUCGUAGGCUCACGCUUUAGUUCCACUGUUUAGAUAUGUUCCUAGAGAAAAUAUGGUUGAAAGUUGACAGUAGAGAUUAUGCGGACAAUAGAAAGCUUAUGUCCUUAAUGCACCACUCAGUGUGCUGAACCCCAAACGUCGUUUGUGGAUGUUGCGAACAUCGGACAUACACGUUUUGAUAGCUACGUGAUAGUUCAGUUAAACGGUUUAGAGUUGAGGCACCAAAGACGUGUUCGAAACGUCGCGGAACAUAUGAGAUGUUUCGAGGGCUGAAAUUGGGAUUUCUGGCUCGUGCGCACGUCAAGAGGUAUAAGACCUCCGACGAUUUUCUUAACCGGCAAACUAAGGGAGAAAAGCUCAAUCGUUGAGCUUGUGCUCAGAUUGUCUGAGUGCAACAAUCACUUGAAUCAAGUGGGAGUUGAUCUUCCAGAUGAGAUAGUGAUGUUUCUCCAAAGUCACUGCCACCAAGCUGCUAGAGCUUCGUGAUGAACUAUAACAUAUCAGGGAUAGAUAUGACGAUCCUUGAGGUAUUCGCGAUGUUUAACACCGCGAAAGUAGAAAUCAAGAAGGAGCAUCAAUUGUUGAUGGUUGGUGAAACCACUAGUUUUAAGAAGGGCAAGGGCAAGAAGGGAUACUUCAUGAAACGGCAAAUCAGCUGCUGCUCUGGUGAAGAAACCCAAGGUUGAACCCAAACCCGAGACUAAGUGCUUCUGUAAUAAGGGGAACAACCACUGGAGCGGUAUUACCCUAGAUACUUGGUAGAUGAGAAGGCUGGCAAGGUCGAUAGAAGUAUAUUGGAUAUACAUUAUGUGUACUUUACUAGUACUCCUAGUAGCACCAGGGUAUUAGAUACCGGUUCGGUUGCUAAGUGUUAGUAACUCGAAAUAAAAGCUACGGAAUAAACGGAGACUAGCUAAAGGUGAGCUGACGAUAUGUGUUGGAAGUGUUUCCAAGGUUGAUGUGAUCAAGCAUCGCACGCUCCCUCUACCAUCGAGAUUUGGUGUUUGCGUUGAGCAUAGACAUGAUUGGAUUAUGUCUAUCGCAAUACGGUUAUUCGUUUAAGGAGAAUAAUGGUUACUCUAUUUAUUUGAAUAAUACCUUCAAUGGUCUUGCACCUAAAGGAAUGAUUUAUUGAAUCUCGAUCGUAGUGAUACACAUUUUCAUGCCAAAAAGAUAUAAGAUAGUAAUGAUAGUACCACUUACUUGUGGCACUGCCAUGUAAGUCAUAUUGGUGUAAAACGCAUGAAGAAGCUCCAUGUUGAUGGAUCUUUGGACUCACUCGUUUUUGAAAAGUUUGAGACAUGCGAACCAUGUCUAUUGAUGUAUACGCAUGAAGAAACUCCAUGCAGAUGGAUCGUUUGGACUCACUUGAUUUUGAAUCACUUGAGAUAUGCAAAUCAUACCACAUGGACAAGAUGACUGAAAAGCCUCUUUUUCAGUAAGAUGGAACAAGAUAGCAACUUGUUGGAAGUAACACAUUUUGAUGUGUGCAGUCCAAUGAGUGCUGAGGCAUGCAGUGAAUAUCGUUAUGUUCUUACUUCACAGAUGAUUCGAGUAGAUGUUGAGUAUAUUUACUUGAUGAAACACAAGUCUGAAUUAUUGAAUGGUUCAAGUAAUUUCAGAGUGAAGUUGAAGAUCAUCGUGACAAGAGGAUAAAAUGUCUAUGAUAUGAUCAUAGAGAUGAGUAUCUGAGUAACGAGCUUUGGCACGCAAUUAAGACAUUGUGGAAAUUGUUUCACAAUUAAUACCAUAGUUUGAUGGUGUGUCCGAACAUCAUAGUUGCACCCUAUUGGAUAUGGUGCAUACCAUGAUGUCUCUUAUCGAAUUACCACUAUCGUUUAUGGGUUAGGCAUUAGAGACAACCACAUUCACUUUAAAUAGGGCAGCACGUAAUUCCGUUGAGAUGACACCGUAUGAACUAUGGUUUAGAGAAACCUAAGUUGUCAUUUCUUAAAGGUUUGGGGCUGCGGCGCUUAUGAGAAAAAGUUUCAGGUUGAUAAGCUCGAACCCAAAGCGGAUAAAAUGCAUCUUCAUAAGACACCCAAAACAGUUGGGUAUACCUCCUAAUUCAGAUCCGAAAGCAAUAGGGAUUGUUUCUUGAACCGGGUCCUUUCUCGAGGAAAAGUUUGUCUCGAAAAGUUGAGUGGGAGGAUGGUGGAGACUUGAUAUGGUUAUUGAACCAUCACUACAACUAGUGUGUAGCAGGGCACAGGAAGUUGUUCCUGUGGCACCUACACCAAUUGAAGUAGAAGCUUAUGAUAGUGAUCAUGAAACUUCGGAUCAAGUCACUACCGUACCUCGUAGGGUGACAAGGAUGCGUACUGCUUCAGAGUGGUACAGUAAUCCUGUCUUGAAGGUCAUGUUGCUAGACAACAAUGAACCUACGAGCUAUGGAGAAGCAAUGGUGGGCCCAAAUUCCGAUAAAUGGUUAGAAGCCAUGAAAUCCGAGAUAGGAUCCAUGUAUCAGAACAAAGCAUGGACUUUGGUGGACUUGCCCAAUGAUCGGCAAGCCAUUGAGAUAAAUGGAUCUUUAAGAAGAAGACGGACGUGGAUGGUAAUGUCACCAUCUAUGAAGCUCGACUUGUGGCGAAGAGUUUUUCACAAGUUCAAGGAGUUGACUACAAUGAGAUUUUCUCAUCCGUAGCGAUGCUUAAGUCCGUCAGAAUCAUGUUAGCAUUAGCUGCAUUUAUGAAAUCUGGCAGAUGGAUGUCAAAACGAGUUUCCUUACCAGUUUUCGUAAGGAAAGGUUGUAUGUGAUACAAUCAGAAAAGUUUUGUCGAUCCUAAGGAUGCUAAAAGGCAUGCUAGAUCCAGCGAUCCUUCCAUGGACUGGAGUAAGCAUCUCGGAGUUGGAAUAUGCACUUUGAUAAGAUGAUCAAAGAUUUUUGUUUAUACAAAGUUGAUGAGAAACUUGUAUUUCCAAAGAAGUGAGUGGGAGCACUAUAGAAUUUCUGAUGAGUAUAUGUUGUUGAUCAGAAAUGAUGUAGAAUAGGGUUGUUUUGAAAAAUGUUUUUCAAUGGAAAACCUGGAUUAAGCUAUUUGAACAUUGAGCAUCAAGAUCUAUGAGGAUAGAUCAAAAACGCUAAAUGGUACUUUCAAAAUGAGCACAUACCUUGACAUGAUCUUGAAGGUGUUCAAGAUGGAUCAGUCAAAGAAGGAGUUCUUGCCUGAGUUGUAAGGUAUGAAGUUAAGAGUUAAAGCUCGACCACGGCAGAAGAGAGAGAAAGGACGAAUGUCGUGCCCUAUGCUUCAGACAUAGGCUCUAUAGUUUGCUAUGCUGUGUACCGCACCGGAAGUGUGCCUUGCCAUGAGUCAGUCAAGGGGUACAAGAAUGAUCCAGGAAUGGAUCAUUGGACAACGGUCAAAAUUGUCCUUGAAGUAAAUAAGGACAUGUUUCUCGAUAUGGAGGUGAUAAAGAGUUCGGCGUAAAGGGUUACGUCGGUGCAAGCUUUAACACCUAUCCGAGUGACUCUGAGUAGCAAACCGGAUACCUAUAGUGGAGCAACCAUUUGGAAUAGCUCCAAAUGGAGCGUGGAAGCAGCGUUUACAAUAUGACCUAGAAAUUUGCAAAGCACACACGGAUCUGAAAGGUUUAGACCCGUUGACUAAAACCUCUCUUGCAACCAAAACAUGAUCAAACCCCAGAACUCAUUGAGUCUUAAUCACAUGAUGAUGUGAAAUAGUUUAGUGACACUAGUAAACUCUUUUGAUGUUGGUCACAUGGUGAUGUGACCUGUGAGUGUUAAUCACAUGGCGAUGUGAACUAGAUUAUUGACUCUAGUGCAAGUGGGAGACUGUUGGAAAUAUGCCCUAGAGGCAAUAAUAAAAGUAUUAUUAUAUUUCCUUGUUCAUGAUAAUUGUCUUUUAUUCAUGCUAUAACUGUACUAUCCGGAAAUCGUAAUACACGUGUGAAUACAUAGACCACAAUAUGUCCCUAGUAAGCCUCUAGUUGACUAGCUCGUUGUGAUCAACAGAUAGUCAUGGUUUCCUGGCUAUGGACAUUGGAUGUCGUUGAUAACGGGAUCACAUCAUUAGGAGAAUGAUGUGAUGGACAAGACCCAAUCCUAAGCAUAGCACAAGAUCGUGUAGUUCGUUUGCUAGAGCUUUUCCAAUGUCAAGUAUCUCUUCCUUAGACCAUGAGAUCGUGUAACUCCCGGAUACCGUAGGAGUGCUUUGGGUGUAUCAAACGUCACAACGUAACUGGGUGACUAUAAAGGUGCACUACAGGUAUCUCCGAAAGUGUCUGUUGGGUUGACACGGAUCAAGACUGGGAUUUGUCACUCCGUGUAAACGGAGAGGUAUCUCUGGGCCCACUCGGUAGGACAUCAUCAUAAUGUGCACAAUGUGACCAAGGGGUUGAUCACGGGAUGAUGUGUUACGGAACGAGUAAAGAGACUUGCCGGUAACGAGAUUGAACAAGGUAUCGGUAUACCGAUGAUUGAAUCUCGGGCAAGUACAAUAUCGUUAGACAAAGGGAAUUGUAUACGGGAUUAAUUGAUUCCUUGACAUCGUGGUUCAUCCGAUGAGAUCAUCGUGGAACAUGUGGGAGCCAACAUGGGUAUCCAGAUCCCGCUGUUGGUUAUUGACCGGAGAACGUCUCGGUCAUGUCUACAUGUCUCCCAAACCCGUAGGGUCUACACACUUAAGGUUCGAUGACGCUAGGGUUAUAAAGGAAGUUUGUAUGUGGUUACCAAAUGUUGUUCGGAGUCCCGGAUGAGAUCCCGGACGUCACGAGGAGUUUCGGAAUGGUUCGGAGGUAAAGAUUUAUAUAUGGGAAGUCCUGUUUUGGUCACCGGAAAAGUUUCGGGUUUUAUCGGUAACGUACCGGGACCACCGGGAGGGUCCCGGUGGUCCACCAAGUGGGGCCACCGGCCCCAGAGGGCUUCAUGGGCCAAGUGUGGGAGGGGACCAGCCCCAGGUGGGCUGGUGCGCCCCCCACCAAGGCCCAAGGCGCCUAGGGUUUGGGGAGGGGGUGCUUCCACCUAACUUGGGGGGCAAGUUUCCCCCCUCUUCCACCUUGGCCGCCACCCUUAGAUGGGAUUGGGGCUGCCGCACCCCUUGGGGUGGAAACCCUAGGGGGAGCGCACCCCCUCCCUCUCCCCUAUAUAUAGUGGAGGUCUUGAGGGCUGCCAACAGAUGAGAACUUCUCCUCUUGGCACAGCCCUACCUCUCUCCCUUCUCCUCAUAUCUCGCGGUGCUUGGCGAAGCCCUGCUAGACUACCACGCUCCUCCAUCACCACCACGCCGUUGUGCUGCUGCUGGAUGGAGUCUUCCUCAACCUCUCCCUCUCUCCUUGCUGGAUCAAGGCGUGGGAGACGUCACCGGGCUGUACGUGUGUUGAACGCGGAGGUGCCGUCCGUUCGGCACUAGGAUCUCCGGUGAUUUGGAUCACGACGAGUACGGCUCCUUCAACCCCGUUCUCUUGAACGCUUCCACUUAGCAAUUUACAAGGGUAUGUAGAUGCACUCUCCUUCCCCUCGUUGCUGGUUUCUCCAUAGAUAGAUCUUGGUGACACGUAGGAAAAUUUUGAAUUUCUGCUACGUUCCCCAACAAUAUGCGAUUCUAUCCUUAGUGGGACCUUUGAGUUCCUUUAGGAUAGGGUUGCAUAUUGGGUGUGACAAGUUGGUAUCAGAGCCUCGACCGACCAUAGGAGCCCCCUUGAUUGUUGGCCGUUGUUGAGUCUAGAAGAAAACUAUUUUGAGUCUUGGGUUUAUAUAUAUCGGAGAGUACGAUUCUUUUUACUCCUCAGCCCCCUUCGUCACUCUGGUGAGGACUCUCGACGUAGAUGUUUUGUCUUUCCUCUCCUCAAUUUUUCACAAUUUUUUUAGGAUCAUGCGGGUAUCUUGGGAUCGUUCCAAUAUUCUUGUGAUGAGAACAUUGUUCUUGGUGCCUCCUGACAUUUAGGGGUUGUGGCAGUGUCCCGGUGAGUUGAGCUCCGAGGUGUUGUCGUCACAAUUUUAUCGUUGCAGUUCUGAAAUACCUGAGUUUUGCCGACAUAGAAAAUCUCUUUUUAUGCAGUUGUUGGUGAGAUAACCUCGACGCCACCCAGUACUGGGGAGUUCGGGAGUAUUGCCAUAGCUCGUAUAAUAGAUGCUUUUCGAAGGUUGAGGUACACGAUUUCUGGAGUUUUCUUGGUUAUGUGUUGACGGAUGGAUACAACCGGAUGUUGGGAUUGUUAGUUUGGGUGAGAUAUAUUGCUUCCCCUGUAUCCCCAACACCAGAUUGCAUAACCAGAAAGUUUUGGGAGUUUAUAGGUGGGAAUUCAAGUAGCUCCUGGAAUAUCUUUCGGACAGAUGCCUGAUAUGGGAUUGGGUAAAUCUCUAUCAUAUGUAUUUGUUCCGGCUUAUUUCUGCAAGCCAAUCCUUUGUUUUGUUUUGAGUUGUGGUAUUUGAGUUGCUUCAAUGUCAAGUGUUGAUUCCAUACCUUUCAAGCGGUGUUCUCAUAUUUCUAUGGGACUACUAAUCCUUUUGAUCAUCGAGAUUGUCAUGUCAAUUCUUUCCAACCGGUGUGCUUCUCUUCAAGUGGGUCCGAUCAUUUCAACAUUUGUGAGAUCAAUUCUAAGUUUUCUCAACGGUAUCCGUUUCAUCUGUCCCCAAUUUGCCUUUGUUUUCCCGCCCUCCCACCCUUUUUCUUCAAGGACUCAGAUUUCUCAAUCAUGUAUUCUUUUAUUUCUGGGAGGUCUCUUCAUUCUUUUCUUUCAGUGUUCUUAUCCGGUGAUUUCCCUUGAAGAUGCUCAACAGUUUCAAGUUCAUCAUCCUUCAUUGUUGUUUCUUCUCCGGUGGAUCCAAUUCAAGCUUUCGAUAUUCAUCAUAUUCCUUUCCUCGUUUCUAAUGCUUUCUCAUGCCGAUGCACCUCUUAAUCAUUCACUUCUUCCUAUUCAUUUGUUCUGGAGUGCUGAAGAUAUCUCACAAGACUUGUGUUUCCAUUCUCAAUCCAUUCAAGAUAUUUCAAGGUGGUUAUCUCAUUCAAGCCAUUUAAUUCAACCGGUGCAACCUCUCUUUAAAAUUGUUCAACGGUGUUUUCUUUUGAGUGGGCCCUAACCUACAUGUCUUUUCCCAGGAUCUUACCUGACUCUUCUAAUUUAUCCGGAGCGAUUCCCAAAGUCUUUCGAAGUUUGACGUAAGAAUGAAUUUUCAUCAGUCAUAUUCCUUCUCCAAGAUCGCUUUCAGAAUAUUUUCAUUGUUGGUUCAUCAUUUCUAUUCUUCUUUGUUCCGGAGUGUCUCAACAAUUGGGUGGUGUUUCUCCUCGUCAUUCUCGGAUUGUGAAGACCGAAGAAGAGUUCCUCUUAAAUCCUUACGCGUUCUUCCAAAGAUGCGUAGUUCAAGCUUGAUGCCAUCCUUUCAUAAUUGUUUUCUAUUGUGAGAAUUCUUUUCAACCAUCUGACGCAUUUCAGGAGUUGCUUCCUUUCUUGAUAAUCCGAAUGCCAUCAUUUCUGAAUAUUACUCAUUCUCAACCUUCAACUCUUGUUCUCCAAAUCUUACCGGUGCAUCGUUCAAAUAACCUCUAAUCAGUUCAUGGCCUCUUCAUUCUCAGGUAUCUAAAUCCCCUCAAGUAUCUUCAUUCGUUUUCCAAUUCUUCCCAGUGAAUUGUGCCUUUGCUACUUUCAUUUUCAAUUCUUAUGGUGGUUCAUACAAGAUUCCUCUUCCUUUGCUACCGUAUCAUUCCAUUCGUUGUUUCCAAUCCCACCGGUGGGUCCAUCAAUACCUUCUCAACUUUAUGCUAUAUCUCUCAUAAUCCUUUCAACGAGAAUAAGUAGCAUGCCUAUCCGUUGCUUGUCAUCAAUUUAAAUUGGUGAAGGAUAGGCAUGACAUAAUUCUUAUUCUUGUUUCAUCCAAGUGAUUAAUUCCUUCUUCCGGAGUUCAAGCAUAUUACAUUCCGAAGUGCAAUUCCUUCUAUCUUAUCUUUUGAGGUGGUGUUAUGUCACUCUUGACAAUUUCCUUCAUGUUUCAUGAUUCAUAUGUUGUCAAGAAUGAGAUAUUUUAAAAAACCAUCAUUUUUCUCUUCGAUCAUGAGAUCCUUUCAACCCAACAAUUUCUUUGUUGGAGUUAUCUUUGGUUAUUUUUCACCUAAAGCCUUCCCGAAGGAAUGUUGCUAAUUGUGGUGCUUAUCAUUGACCCAAGUUCUCCAGUUAUCCUCUUGGUGAAAGAAGUUUCUCUUAUCUUCAUUGAUCUCAACCAAUCAAUUGUUUCUGUUAGUGGCCGGUUGUCACCUCAUAAUUUUGAGAUGUGUUCCACAAGCCCACAACAAGCUUGUUCCUUUCAUUGUUGAUAAUCCAACAACUUCGUUCCAGUAUUUCUUGUAAGCGUGCUCUUUGAAGAUCUUGUUUCCCUCCGUUCAUUCCAUUCCAUUCUUUAAUUCCUUUCGGAGGCUUUGUGAUGUUGCUCUCUUCGACCUAUCGUCUCGUUUUGUCAGGACUGUGUUCUUUCCGUGCUUAUCCAUUUAACCGGAGUGUCGUGCCCUCAUUUCAAGUUCUCCCCAUUUUGUCAAGUUUUCCUUCCCUUUUCUACCGGAGUGCUGUCCAAAUCUGUCAUUCUUGUUCCUUGGCUAUCCCAUUAUACCGGUGUGGUGGCAUAUUCUCUUUGGGUCGUUAAGCUCUUGUUUCAUGUCUUUCAACCAACAAGGUUCUCAUAAUGUUCCCUGUUCCUCUCAUGUAACGAAGUGUUCUAAACUUCAUUCAUGUCCGCCGUAUUCUUACCUUGAAAUUGUUUAACCUCUCAAGGUUCAUGGUUUCACUCGUUUGUCGAAGAAGCAACUUAGUUUACCUCUUAUCUUCCUCUUCCUUUUCCCUCCGGUGCCAUCAUAGAUCUCAGGACGAGAUCCUCUCAUAGUGGUGGAGUGUUGUAAUGCCCCGGAUACAACUUUCCAUAUUUGUAACUCCAACUCUCUUGCCAUUUCCGGCUACGUGAUAUGUUAUUUCCUUCGUGGUUGGGUUUUGUCUUUUGUUUUGCAUUUUCUUCAUGUAAUGCAUCUCAUCUCAUGGCAUCAUGUGCAUUGCAUCCGCAUGUUUUCGUAAAACUCGCACCCGUUCGUAGUUGCCGCGUUCCCCUUGCCUCCCUUGACCGUUCUGAAGCCAACCACCCCCUUGCACGCGAUCGCCUUGUUCCUCUGCACAGCGCACAGACCCCCCACGCGCGUCCGUAACCUCUUCCGAACCCGACCUGCAUGGUCAUGACCGAUGAGUCCGAAUCAUCCCCCAACAUCCCUAAAACAUCUCCGUUUUAUUAUUUGGACUCCCUGCCUAUUUUAUUCUGGACCGUUCAAUUGCGAUCGAAGGGACGAAUUAGCCCCUAAACUAACCUAAUCCAACUACUAUUUAAACCAACCUAACCCUAAAAUCUCGGAUGGCUGUCCCAUCCUUCCCAUCCCCGCCACCACCCACCUACCUUUCUUCCUCGAGAUCCCCUCAUUCCCCCCGAUCCAAUCCCACCAACCAGACUCCACCCGAGGCCUCCCCUCGAUCCAACUCGUCUUCGCUCUCCUCGUCGACCAGGGAGACGAGCUCCUCCCGAGACCAGCAGAUGAGCCCCCGUCGCGACCCUCUCCUUCUGUUCCCUCUUCCCUGCAGCUCCCUCUCCCUAAUCUCCUCAUACCUCUGUACCUCAACAGGAGCUCCAGCGCCAUGGCCAUCCCGAGCUCAGCCCGCACAGCUCGGAGACCCCAAGCCCCCUCGUUCCAGCAGUCCAGGAGGAUGCCGCCAUGCCCGUGCUACAUCCCGCGAACCCGCCGACGACCCUGACCUUCAGGCUACCCCGACGCGCCCGAUGCCUCCUCCUCGACCCCUCUGCGAGCCCCCGAUGCCACCUCAUCCUGCCAUCGCCGGCGACCAGCAGGUCAUGUCGCCGUGCCUCUUCCUUCUCCGUCCCCGUCGCCCUCUCUUGUUCUCCAUUUUUUUCUCUGCCUGCAGUCUCAAGCUCUCUCUGUUUCCCAGCACAGGGCUUCGUUGCCGUCAUCCUCGUGCUACUUCGUCAUUGCUGCCGGAUCCGCCUCGCCGAGUCCUCGCCCCCGCGUUGGUUCUGCGCCUUGCCAUGGCGCCGCCGCUGGUGAGUCGCUGCCGUUCAGCAAGGCCCCUCUCGGCCUCUCCUUUUUCCUUCCUCGACUUGUUUCUCUCUGAAUUUGUCUCCUCGUUGAACAGAGGACAGGCGCCACCUUCUUCAGCUCCGCCAGAACGCCACCUCGCCAAAGAGCCCAUGCCAGGGUCGUCCUCUUCUUCUGAUCCGGCGCCGUCCAGGAGCUUGCCGUUAGAUCCAGUGUUCUCUCCUGUCGCUCUGUCCUCCUCUGAGUUGCCCGUGCCGCCGCGGCUCUGCUUCCUAUCGAGCAGAGGACGCCCGCUCGUCCCAGCCGCGUUGACCGUGUCCUGUCCCUCCCGCGCCAAGGCCCAGCGCGCCAGCCUCCCUUGCCGGCCUCACCUCACCGUCGAACUGGGCCGUGGCCCAUGGUGAGCAGCCCCCGCCCUCUAUAUGCUCUGUUGGCCCAGCCAGUUUCGGCCCGCUUAUGUUUUUUUAGCGUCUGUGAAUUUAGCUAUUUAUCCAGUAAAUUAACAGAUUUGCAAAAAACCCCUCUAACUUCAUGCAUAUAAUAACUCAUGAACUAUGCAUCUUAUGUAAAUAAUUCAUAUAUGAAAAAUGCUUAGAAUUUCAUCUAAUUUCAUAAUAUACUGCUUUCAACCAUGUUUGAAAUGUUGUUUGUUUAAAUUUGCUCAAAUGCCAUGUUAAAAUGAUUUAUUUCAUAACUAAAUAACCGUAGCUCCAAAUUUAAUAAACUUUAUAUGUAAAUGGGGAAAAUGCAUAGAUUAACUUGGUGCACUUUGUUUUACUGCUUAACAACAUUAAAAUAUGGUUUAGGGCAGAACAGUACCAAAUUCAAAAUAUGGACAUGAGGAUUUUCCGGAAUUGUUGUUUGUUGUUUCCAAACUCAUUUAAACUUGCCUAAAUAGUUAGAUUACUUAUGUUACACCUCUUGCCAUGUUUAACAAUAUUUAACAUUGUUGUGUGCCUAAACGAGAGCGAACUAAAUAACUCGAAUGUGGUGUUUCGUCAAUAUGCAACUCGUUGCAUAUUGAGCUCCACUUAACUUGUAGUAUUGUUUGUUGCACUUUGUCAUGUCAUGCCUCAUUAAACCGGACAUGCAUCAUACUUGAUUGUGCAUCAUGCCAUGAUUAUGCUUGUGUGUUUACCGUGUUGUUUCCUCCUUUCCGGUUUGCUUCUCUCGUUAGCUUCGGUUUCGUUCCGGAGUUGUGAGGAUUCAUUCGACUACGUCCGUUUGUCUCCUUCAUGGACUCAAUCUUCUUCCUUGCAGGAUUUCAGGCAAGAUGACCGUCACCUUGGAUCUCACUUCUAUCAUUGCUAUGCUAGUUGCUUUGUUCUAUCGCUUUUCCGCGCUACCUAUCUCUUGUUGCUCAAGCCUCCCAAAUUGCCAUGUCAGCCUCUAACCUUUUCACCCUUCCUAGCAAACUGUUGCUUGGCUAUGUUACCGCUUUGCUCAGCCCCUCUUAUAGCGUUGUUAGUUGCAGGUGAAGUUGAAGAUUGCUCCAUGAUGGACAGGAUUAUGUUGGGAUAUCACAAUAUCUGUUAUUUAAUUAAUGCAUCUAUCUACUUGGUAAAGGGUGGAAGGCUCGGCCUUAUUCCUGGCAUUUUGUUCCACUCUUGCCGCCCUAGUUUCUGUCAUACCGGUGUUAUGUUCCUUGAUUUUGCGUUCCUUACACGGUUGUGUGAUUUAUGGGACCCCCUUGACAGUUCGCUUUGAAUAAAACUCCUCCAGCAAGGCCCAACUUUGGUUUUACCAUUUGCCUACCUAAGCCUUUUUCCCUUGGGUUUCCGGAGCCCGAGGGUCAUCUUUAUUUAACCCCCCGGGCCAGUGCUUCUUCGAGUGUUGGUCUGAACCGAGUAGACUGCGGGGCCACCACGGGGCAACUCGAGGGCUGGUUUUACUCGUAGGCUGACCUAUCCGUUGUGCCCUGGGAACGAGAUAUGUGCAGCUCCUAUCGGGAUUUGUCGGCACAUCGGGCGGCUUUGCUAGUCUUGUUUUACCAUUGUCGAAAUGUCUUGUAAACCAGGAUUCCGAGACUGAUCGGGUCUUCCUGGGAGAAGGAAUAUCCUUCGUUAACCGUGAGAGCUUGUGAUGGGCUAAGUUGGGACACCCCUGCAGGGUAUAAACUUUUGAGAGCCGUGCCCGUGGUUAUGUGGCAGAUGGGAAUUUAUUAAUGUCCGGUUGUAGAUAACUUGACACUUGACUUAAAUAAAACGCAUCAACCGCGUGCGUAGCCAUGAUGGUCUCUUUUCGGCGGAGUUAGGAAGUGAACACGGUUUUGGGUUAUGUUUGGCGUAAGUAGGAGUUCAGGAUCACUUCUUGAUCAUUGCUAGCUUCACGACCGUUCCGUUGCUUCUCUUCUCGCUCUUAUUUGCGUAUGUUAGCCUCCAUAUCAUGCUUAGUCGCUGCUGCAACCUCACCACUUUACCCCUUCCUUAGCCAUUAAGCUUUGCUAGUCUUGAUACCCAUGGUAAUGGGAUUGCUGAGUCCUCGUGGCUCACAGAUUACUACAACAACAAUUGCAGGUACAGGUUGCGAUGAUCAUGACGCGAGAGCGAUGCUUGCUUGUUUUGGAGUUCUUCUUCUGGUUCUUCUUUGAUCAGGGGAUAGGUUCCAGGUCGGCAGCCUGGGCUAGCAGGGUGGAUGUCGUUUGAGUUUCUGUUUGUGUUUCAUCCAUAGUCGGAUGUGGCUCUUGUGUAUGACGUUGUUGUAUUCAUGUGGCAUUGUCUGCCUCUUGUAUGUAUCCCCAACUAUUAUGUAAUGGUACUGUCGGUGUCAAAACCGGCGGAUCUUGGGUGGGGGGUCCCGAACUGUGCGUCUAGGCGGAUGGUAACAGGAGACAAGGGACACGAUGUUUUACCCAGGUUCGGGCCCUCUUGAUGGAGGUAAAACCCUACGUCCUGCUUGAUUAAUAUUGAUGAUGUGUAUUACAAGAGUGGAUCUACCACGAGAUCAAGGAGGCUAAACCCUAGAAGCUAGCCUAUGGUAUGAUUGUUGUAAUGGAGGUUAUGUCCUACAGACUAAAGCCCUCCGGUUUAUAUAGACACCGGAGAGGGCUAGGGUUACACAGAGUCGGUUACAAUGGUAGGAGAUCUACAUAUCCGUAUUGCCAAGCUUGCCUUCCACGCCAAGGAAAGUCCCAUAUGGACACGGGGCGGAGUCUUCAAUCUUGUAUCUUCGUAGUCUUGGAGUCCGGUGGACGAUGAUAGUCCGGCUGUCCGGACACCCCCUAGUCCAGGACUCCCUCAGUAUCCCCUGAACCUGGCUUCAAUGACGAUGAGUCCGGCGCGCAUAAUGUUCGGCAUUGCAAGGCGGGUUCCUCCUUUGAAUAAUCUAGAGAAGAUUGUGAACACCAGGAUAGUGUCCGGCUCUGCAAAAUAAAUUCCACGCUCCACCGUAGAGAGAAUAACAUAUAUACACAAGUUCAAUCUGCUGACGUAUUUUGCGGCAUGACAUCACACCACCACCAAGCCUUUACUUGAAUCAUUUUUUAUUAUACCACCUCAGCGCGUUUAGCGAAGCGGUUUCCUUGGCACGUCUUGUCGAAGCAGAGAUCGUGUUCCCCUUAUUCUGGGAUUCUCAUCAAUACGGACGUGGGUAACCCAACCGCGCCAUUGAUGGUGGCGCUUGGGAGAUAAGCGAGUUUUACCAGGCUAGUGGGGACGCAUAGUCUUCGUCCGCCUAUAUAUAAGGGAUAAGGAUUCACCUUUUCACCUACGCCUUCUUCCUCCCUUGCUUAUCCAUCUCUGCGCACUCGAGCUCCAGCGCCCAAGUUCGCGCAUCUCGCCUCGACCUUCUCCGACCAUGUCCGGAGCGAGAGGUAAAUGGUUGGUCUCCACCGUCACGGAGGAGCACAUCACAAAGCUGCGCAGCGCCGGAUACCUUUCCGGCGACGUCGUGCACCGGCUGCCCGACGAGGGGCAGCUCAUCCCCACCCCCAGGCCCCAUGAGAGGGUCGUUUUCCUCCCCCACUUCCUCCGCGGACUGGGCUUUCCACUUCACCCUUUUGUCCGGGGGCUCAUGUUCUACUACGGCCUGGAUUUCCAUGAUCUGGCGCCGAACUUCAUCCUCAACAUCUCGGCGUUUAUCGUCGUGUGCGAGGCCUUCCUCUGCAUCCAGCCCCACUUCGGCUUGUGGCUCAAGACCUUCAAUGUCAAGCCGAAGGUAGUGAAGGGCACUCAAGCGGAGUGCGGAGGCGCCAUGUUGGGCAAGAUGCCCAACGUCCUUUGGUUCGAAGGGGCCUUCGUGGAAUCCGUCAAGGGGUGGCAGUCGGGGUGGUUCUAUAUCACCGAGCCGCGCGACCCUACGUGAGCGGCGGCCCCCGAGUUCAGAUCUGGUAUCCCUACGCAGCUCACCUCCUGGAAAGAGAAGGGCUUGCUGUGGGGUAAUUCGAAGGAGCUGACGGGACUCCAAGCCUAUAUCCAGAAGCUGGUGAACAAGAAGCUCGGCCUGGUUAACGUGGUCCAAGUCAUGCUCGUCCGCCGGAUUCUCCCAUGCCAAGAACGGGCAUUCAAUCUGUGGGAGUUCUAUCCGGAAUAGCACCAGGCGUUGAGCGGGCUCUUUGACACGACGUACGAAGGCGCCUGGAGGGUGCUGUUUAAGGGCGCCGAAGCCCCCGCAUCCGCGACGGAAGAUCACGGAUUUCACUCGCAGCGUCCAGCUGACGAGGUAAGUGAUUCUACCCCUUUACGGGACACUUGUUGUUAAUAGUUCAACCCUAAGCGGGUUUUAAUCUCCUUUUUCCUUUGACAGGAAUGGAUGAAGAAGGCCGAGCAGUUCAUCUGCCCGGCUCCCAUGCCAGAAGACCCAGUGGACGCCCGUCUAGUGCGGCUGCUGGUUCCGGCACCGCACGUGGUGCCGGAGAAGAAGGCCAAGAAGGUGGCCACGGGUACUCGAAAGAGUUCCCGUUUUCAGGUGUCCGACGACUCCGAGGCGGAUUUCUCCCCCGAAGAUGAGGAGGAGGAAGAAGACUCUCUCCCAGAGGAGGGAGAGAGAAAGAGGAAGGCCUCCCCAACAGGGGAGGCCGAAGGGUCCAAGAGGGGAAGAACUAUUCCCCCGGACAGCUCCGCCAACAUCAACAUUGGCGACGAAGAGUGGCCCUCGAGGGCCAGGCCUCAGGCGAGAUCGUAAGUAUCUGGAUCCCUGAAUGAUCUACAAUUUCUUUUGUGUCACAUAGUGUCCUUCUAAUGACGCAUACUGCCUGCAGUCCGGCCGACGAUGAUCUCCCUGCUUCGUCGAGCGGGUCGUUGGCUGCGUCGGAUGUGGAAUCCAUUCCGACUGCCUCCACCCCCCGCGCCACUGAGGACGCCGAGGUGGGAUCCCGGGAAGGGACCCAUCAGGAAGAGGCUCCGGAGGCGCCGCAAGGCAGCCUCCCGGACUUUGCACCGGACUCUACGCCGGAACCUGCAGUGGUUCCAGAGUCUGGUAGGCGGCCUCUUCGCAAGAAGGGCAAGACCGUGACACCGGCGGCCCCCGUCCAACCGGAGGCGCCAGACAACUUGUUGGAGGUGCUCAAAGGCGCUUCCAUCGAGGAAGAACACCGCACUGUUAUGAGUGCGGUGAUUCAGAAGGUUCAGCUUGCCAAGAGCGGGCUGACCGUAGCCUGCAGUAGCCUUCUAACAAGCUUUGAGGUAAGAAGUUAAAAUUAUGUAAUGUAAUACCGCAUAGACAGUAGCCCCUGAUGCUCAGUUCGGUGUUCGGAAAGAAAAGCCGGACUGAGGAUCUAAAAAGACGUACACAGGGGUGCUAAAAGUAUGUCAAUAUGGGUUUGCAGGCUGUGCUGCUGACCUCUGCCGCACUGACUACGGAGGUUGGUGCAUUGAAGCAGGAUCUCGAGCGGUCCAAGUAAGAGCUCGGCCGUGCCAAGAAGCAGCUCGAGGAAAA